This 85120-nucleotide long non-coding RNA is filed under the name Capsicum annuum. RNAcentral's name for it is "long non-coding RNA (CANN_LNC006591)". Lineage: Eukaryota; Viridiplantae; Streptophyta; Magnoliopsida; Solanales; Solanaceae. The record is from RNAcentral.
UUUUUUUUUGUAUUCCAAUAAAUGAGUCUUGAGAAACCCUAAUGUUGUUGAUUGUUGCUUUAAAUAUAGCCUUGGUAGUGGUAUGUACACAAGGUGUUUGUGAAAAUAUCUAAGUAAAAUGCCUAGUUACAUGUUGAUGAUGUAUUAAAUUAGGGAAAUGACCUAAUGGGCAUGAAUGAUUGGUGAAUGGUGUGUCAAAGUUAUUGUGGUCCAUGUAUUAUGUAUUUGAUAUUAUUGUUAGGAUAAUGGAUAAUAAGGGUUUGAAACCCUAGACAUGAAAAUGAACUUGUUAUGUGUGUUGAGCCUAAAUAUGGUGAGAAUAUAGUGAAAUCUUGCUAAUGAAUUGUGAAUGGUUAUGUGGGGCUUGGUGACCAUAAAUGAAAUUAAAUAUGUGCUGAAUCAAUUCAUGUGGCCUAUUGAAAUGAUCAAUGGUUAAAUAGUUUUGUGAAGGUCAAAUGUGUAUCUAUUGAAUUGGCAUAGUGGACAUAAAUGAGUCAUGAUAAUAUUUAAAUGAAUGUGUAUACUUGUGGAUGGUUGGUAAAGGCCUUGUUGGCCAUGUAUUGAGUUAUCAUGAUUGUGAAUUCUUUAUAAAUGGUUUCUAUGAGCCCUGUUAAUUAUGUAAUAAAUUAGCAUAUGGCUUAGAAUGGUGUGAUGGGCUUAUAAGUAUGAAUGGUUGAUUAUUGAUGUUGUUGGUCAUGUAAUUUGUUAAACUAUGAUUAUGUUAGUUUGAUGUCAAAGAAGAGGGGUAAAAUUUCCUUAAAUUAAACUUGAAUUGUGUAUUGAACCAAGUGUGGUGAACACGUAAUAUAAUAUUUUUAAUGAAAUGAGAAUAGUUUGUAUGGGUCAUAAGGACCACAAAUUGCAUUGUAUGAUUAAAUGAUUUAAGGCAUUGUCCUAAUGAAAUGGUUAAGCAAUGAAGGCUCCUAUAUGGACCACAUGGUCAUAUAUGAUGUUGAAUUGGCUAAAUGAGCCAUGGCCCUUAAAUGUGAUAUAAGUUGUAUGUAUGUAAAUACAUGAACUAAUGAGUCAAGAGCUCUAAUGCCGACCAAGGAUUCCAAAGAACAAUAAGUGAUUCGAGUUCUUCAUCUAAUAAAAUAACUAGUGAUUCUAGUUCGUAGUCCAAUGAACAAUAGGUGAUUUGAGUUCCUCGUCUAAUGACAUGUCUAGCAAUUCGAGUUUCUAAACCAAUAAUAUGGCUAGUAAUUCGAGUUCCUAGUCCAAAGAGAUCUCUUAAGGUUGGAGUACCUUAUCAAGUGACAUGGCUAGUGACUUGAGUUCCUAUACCAGUGAUAAGAUAAGACUAGUGAUUUGAGUUCCUAGUUCAAUGAAAUGAAAUGGCUAGUAAUUCGAGUUCCUAGAUUGGUGAAACAACUAGUAAUUUGAGUUCCUAUUUUAAUAAAAUGGCAAUGAGAUUAGUCAAAUGGGUAAACCCGGUUAAAUUGGAUGCUUGGUCAAAUAUGAUAUGUUGGUUGAGUUGGUUUAUGGUUUGGAGCCCCCUGACUAAUGUAACAAAGAAGUAUAGGUUAUAAACUUGGUAAGGUGGAUGAUUAAAAGUUCUUCACUAGCUAUCUCAUAAAUGAAUAAUUUGAGAAUACAUGUUAUAUCUUGCUCCUUUUGCGGCAUAAUAUAAACAUAAUGUAUAUGUAUAUGUAUAUGUGCAUGAUUAUGUGUUUAUGAAGUCUAUUAAAGUUCUAUGCUUAAUAAGAAUGGUUUGAAUCUAAGUGUUGAAUAUCGAACUCCACUUUAUGUCUCAUGAUUGAAGAAGUCAAAAAUGUUGUUAAAUCUUGAUGUCUUGUUGACAGGCGAUAUAUCUAUACAUAAGAUAAGUGUUCAAAUAUUAUUAAACAUGAUAUGUUGACUUCUUGUUGAAUGAUGGUAUUAUUUUAUCCUUUAUCCUCGAGUUACAUGCUAGCUCUCCAACCAAUAAUCGUCUUUAGAUGCUAUGUCCCUACACAACAUAGGGGCUGGAGUGAACAGGUGUUGAGCGGAUUUGUGCAUUGACCUUGAAGUGGUGAGCUUCAAUACUCCAAAAGACCUACCUCUCAUAGUCAUGUUACUCUACGUCAUAUACUUGUAUAGAUUUAAUAAUUGGCUAAUGUCGAGGGUUUGUCCCAUAUAUCUUUGACUUUUAUUGGGUAAAGGUUUUAUGGAUGACUAUAGACUUAGGCAUAUUGGCUAGACUGUUGUUAUUAAUAAAAUAUUAGAUAUUGUCUUUUUAGCCUUACAUUUUUACUAUCUUGUUAUCUGGUCGGACUUUAUCUGACCCUUAUGGAUGAUUGUUGAAGAUUAGGUUGGGUUAUCGGGGUGACCUUUAGUUCAUGUGAGCUUGAGGUACCCAUACGACAUGGCCUUAAGUUUGGGUUAUGUCAAGUUAGUAUCAGAUCCUAUGUUCAUGAUCAGUUGGGAUUCCACAAAGCCGUGCCAAGUAGAGUCACUUUUAUGGGUGUGAAGUACGUCACACUUAUAAGAGAGAGGCUAUAAGGAAUUUAGGAAUGUUCUCUUUGUUAUGUUUUAAUAUCAAUCUAUGUAGAUUCUAAGGUAUUAGAUUCCUUUGAUUUAUGUUUGAUCAUCUUUUAGAUGUUCCAUGUUUUAUUACGAAUCUGUGUGCUUUCCUCUAUUUUAUAUUACUUAUGGGUGACGUAUUUAUGUUAUGUAAUCUGCUUUUGUGCUUUACUAUGUGUUUGUGUGGUAUCUCAUGCCUUGAGCCGGGGGUCUAUCGGAAAUAGCCUUUCUACUACUUUAGAGGUAGAGGUAUGGACUGCGUACAUCUUACCCCCCCAGACCCCACUAGGUAGGAAUACACUGGGUUUGUUGUUGUACCCAAGAAGAUCUGAUGUUUGGGUAAACCCUUUUGUCCUGGCUGAGGGCAAUAUAGACAACACUUAUCUAACUUCUGGGGUUUAGACCCGAUCAAGGGUCAUGACAUAUGACUUUCCUCAUGGGGUUCCAGUUGUUCCCACUAACCCCUUUAUUUGGGUGACACUUCUCCUCAGUUACCUCAUAAUGUUGGGUUUCAUCUCUCCCUUCUUAGUUGGCUAAGAUUGGUAAAAAAGGUCUAGAAGAAAUUAUUGGGGGGGACCUAGUAUUUACCCCACAAUUGGUUUUCUCUACCCAAAUCUAUUAGGAAAUAAACAUCUUUAGAUUGAUAAUACUUUAGGGCAUGGCGUGCCCAAUAUAAGGCCAGAGCCUAAUCCUCUUUAACCUAUCAUCCUUACCGGUUUUGCAGUAGAACACAUCAUGGUUGUUGUGAGAAAGAAAAGAACUGGUGUUUAAGUGUGUCCAACUGGGUCAAAUACAAUAGGAGUGUUGUAUAGCGGCUACCACUUGGUCAAGACAAAGGAUGUCAAUUACCAUUUCUCUAGAUAUUAAACCCAGGGGUGCUGUUUCUAGCUUCGACCUGGGUUGGGACCAUCUCAAUACUCUUGCUAUCCCUCAAGAAUCCGAGGCAUCUUCUAAUGCUGAUACGGGUAUGUUGAGACUUUUCUCCUAUGAUGCGUAUUGUUUUCUAGAUCCAGGGUUUACUCUUUCCUAGGUGACCCCGUAUAUGGUUAUGCAUCUUGAUUGUGGUCCUAAGAGUCUGUCAGUUCCUUUAUCUAUUUCUACCUCGGUUAGAGACCAUGUGGCUGUUAGAAGAUUCUAUAGGGGAUGUAUGGUAUCUGAUGGUGUUUGAGACACUCUUGUAAACUUGGUAGAGUUGUACAUGGUUGAACUAGAUGUCAUCCUAGAAAUGGAUCGGUUAUACUUUUGCAAUGCUUCUUUAGAUUUUCAGACCCAUAAGGUCAUGUUUAACUUCCUUAAUGAGUCAAUCAUUAUAUGGGAAGAUGGUUCUUUUGUUCUUUAGUACCUAAGAAAGGAUUCUUUUUUUAUCUCAAAGCCUGAAAAUUGAUUCCAAAGGGAUGUUUGUAUCAUUUGGUUUGAUUUAAAGGUCCUAACUCAGAAGGGUCUUCUCGAGAAUCCAUUUUCAUGGUUGAUGAGUUUCUUGCCAUGUCUUUUGGGUCAACCAAAGCCUUUGUGGCAUUCAUGGGCUUAUGAAAUAGGUCUUCUAUCCAUUCGUGGACAUACUUUUAAUUAUCUUCAUUGAUGAUAUCUUAGUGUAUUCUAAGAAUGAGGCGGAUCAUGCAGAUCACCCCCAUGUCAUGUUGGAAACUUUGAAGGAUCAUUAUUUGUAUGCCAAGUCCUACGAGUGUGAGCUUUGGUUGAAGGUCAUAGAUUUUUUUGUUCAUGUUAUCUAUCUUUAAUAAAGGGAUCAUGGUUGAUUCCCAGAAAAGUAUGGGGUGGUGUGUCUUUUGGUGUCUGGACUAAAGGGCUUAACCUUUAGUAUGUUGUGUUGGGAUGAGUCUCAUUUGUGACCUAGGUGGUCACUAUGAAGCACUCCAACCUAUGGUGUCAUAUUUUUGUUGAGGGUCUUGCCUUGAGUGGCGUGAGUGGUUAUUGUGUUUUAGGUUCUCCGUAACCUUUCUUAUGUUGGUUAAUGGCUCGGGGGCAUGGUGAUGUGUUGAAAUAAUAAAUGUAGAAGUCCUUAAGUUGGGGAGACUCUAGGGUUCCUUUUAGGCAUCGUAUGGUGGAUGUCGACCUUUCACUUGGGGUGGGGUAUAAAGUUGAUAGGGGUAAGUUGCUUGGCCCCGAUUUAGUUCACCAAGCUUUAUAAAAUGGUGAAGGUGAUUCAUGAGAGGUUGAAAACCACUCAAAGUCGCCAAAAGUCCUAUGCGGGCAUGUGGCUUAGGAGUUUAGAGCUUAGUGUUGGCGAUUGGUUAUUCUUGGAGGUGUCUCCCAUGGAGGGAAUAGUGUGAAUCGGUAAAAAAGGGGAAAGCUUAGUCCCCUAUAUGUUGAUCCCUAGAUGGUCUCGAAAGGGGUUGGCAAUAUUGCCAAAAAAAUGGAGAUGCCUACUAGGUUGAACCCCAUUUCCCCCAAUUGUCCAUAUCUUUAUGUGUGAAAAUGUGUAGGUGAUUCCUUAUUGGUUGUUCCCUUAGAGGACAGUGAUGUUUUGGGUUCCUUGACUUGUGAAGAGAUCCCGGUGAGGAUCUUGGAUAGGCAAUUUUGCCGAUUGCGAACAAUAGAAGUGGCUUCAGUGAAGGUUCUAUGGAGGAACCAAUGGUCCAAGAAAGCUACUUGGGAGACGGAAGAGGAUAUCAAGUCCAAGUAUCCGCAAGUAUGUUCCAUUCUGGAAACUCAAGCUUGAGGUAUGUGUUGUUGUUCCUAACUUGGUUUAUGUCUUUAAUAGAUAAUGCAUGAAAUUUCCAUUGCUUACAACUGAUUCAUGUCUUUGUUAGACAAGGGAUUCAAGUUUCAAAAUGUUGAGUUUCUUUAUAACUCUAAAAGACGGUGAGGAUUGUGAUAUGUGUUGUGUUAUAACCUUGUGGUGUGCUUUGUCCUAGUUUAGUUGAAAGUGGUUUACAAUAUGUUCUAAUAUGUUAACUUGUGUCGAUGAUUUCCUUACCCAUCAUUCGAGGAUGAAUGAUCCUAAGUGGAGGAGAACGAAACACCCAAGAAUGUGGACUUGCUAAAAUUUUUGGUUGAUUGGUGAUGAUCAUGAUAUAUAUUGGGUUGUAUCUAUGUUAUGUGUUGUUUAUAACUUGCGUAAAGGUUGCCUUGAUAUAUGUUGAUGUGUUAACUUGUGUUUAUGCUUGAUUCUCCUAUUAUUUGAGUACGCAUAGUCCAAGUGGGGGAGAAUUUAAACACCUAGACUUGAACCCUUGAAAAGACAACUGCUUUUGAUAUCUCUGGGGUAGGUACGAUUGAAGGGCUUGAGUUGUACCCUUGGUCAUGACUCGUACCCUUCUCCCCCUACCUUUUCAUACCUUGAGAAGUAAGUUAAGGUAGCACACUAUCUCCUAUACGACAAGGCCAUCCCUUGGUCGUAAGCAUUCAUAUGAGUCGUAUACUACAAGGUCAUAUGGAGUGAAAACCUAACCUAGAGUGGAUUUUUUUUGUUACAGGUGAAGCUCAUGAUUGGGGCAUGAUUUGUACCCUUUGGUUAUGACUCAAAGGUUCCCUCUUAUUCCUACAGUAGUGUGAUUAACCUAGGAGAAGCCUAGGGUACGAGUUAGGGUACCACUCAUACCCUAGGUCAUGAUUGCCAUAUGAACCAUAUAUGGGAUUCGUACCCCUACACAAGUGGACUUUCUAGCUUUUUAUUAAGGAACUUUUGGUAAUUUCCCUUGCCUAAAACCCUAAGUCAUUUCACUAUAUAAACCAUUUCAUCCUUCUACAUCUUCAUUUAUAAUACAUAAACAUUCCAAAUACUCAGAAAAGAUUCCUGGAGAAAGAUUGGGGGUUAGGGUUUGGAGGUGUUCAUCUAGUGGCAAUAUGAAGUCAAGAUUGUUGGUGUGUCAUCUUGUUUAAGUCAUGUACCUCUUCCACUUUCUAUAUAACUCUAAACCUACGUAUUUCAUAAUUAGAUUAGUAAGUGUACAUGGUGGUUUUUAAAUCAAAUCAAAAGUAUUUUGUUGCCUAAUGAUGAAUAAUGUUGACUAUUGCUUAGACUUCUGUUUAUACAUGUUAUUGUUGAUGUUUUGCAGGUGUGGAUGCUUUUUUUUCUAGUCUAACGAAUAAGUCUUGAGAAACCCUAAUGUUGAUGAUUUUUGCUUUGAAUAUAGCCUUGGUAGAGGUAUGUACACAAGGUAUUUGUGAAAAUGUCUAAGUAAAAUGCCUAGUUACUUGUUGAUGAUGUAUUGAGUUAGGGCAAUGUCCUAAUGAGCAUGAAUGGUUGGAAAUGGUGUGUUAAAGUUAUUGCGGGCUAUGUAUUAUGUAUUUGAUGUUAUUGUUGGGCUAAUGACUAAUAAGGGUUUGAAACCCUAAACAUAAAAAUGAACUUGUUAUGUGUGUUGAUCCUAAAUGUGGUGAGAAUGUGGUGAAAGAUUGCUAAUGAAUUAUGAAUGUUUAUGUGGGUCUUAGUGACCAUAAAUGAAAUUAAAGAUGUGUUGAAUCAACGCAUGUUGCCUAUUGAAAUGAUCAAUGGUUAAAUAGUUUUGUGAAUGUCAAAUGUUAAUCUAUUGAAUUGGACUAGUGGGCAUGAAUGAGUCAUGAUAAUUAUAAAUGAAUGUGAAUACUUGUGGAUGGUUGGUAAAGGACUUAUUAGUCAUGUAUUGAGAUAUCAUGAUUUUGAAUUCUUUGUAAAUGGUUGCUAUGAGCCUUGUUAAUCAUGUAAUGAAUUAGCCUAUGGCUUAGAAUGGUAUGAUGGCCUUAUAAGUAUGAAUGGUUGAUGACUGAUGUUGUGUUGAUGUUGUUGGCCAUGUAAUUUGUUAAACUAUGAUCAUGUUGGUUUGAUGUCUAAGAAGAGGGGUUCAAUUCCCUAAACUAGAACUUAAAGUGUGUAUUGAACCAUGUAUGGUGAACACGUAUUAUAAUGUUGCUAGUGAAAUGAGAAUAGUUUGUAUGGGUCAUAAGGACCACAAAUUGCAUUGUAUGAUGAAAUUAUUUAAGGCAUUGGCCUAACGAAAUAGAUGACCAAUGAAGGCUCCCAUAUGGACCAUGUGGUCAUAUAUGAUAUCGAAUUGGCUAAAUAAGCCAUGGCCCUUAAAUGGGAUAUAAGUUAUAUGUAUAUAAAUGCAUGAACUAAUGAAUCAAGAGUUCUAAUGCCGACCAAGGAUGCCAAUGAACAACGAGUGAUUUGAGUUCCUCGUCAAAUGAAAUAACUAGUGAUUCAUGUUCCUAGUCCAAUGAACAACGGGUGAUUCGAGUUCCUUGUCUAAUGACAUAGCUAGCGAUUCGAGUUCCUAGACCUGUGAUAUGGCUAGCAAUUUGAGUUUCUAGACCGGUGAUACAACUAGUAAUUCAAGUUUCUAGUCCAAAGAGAUAUCUUGAGGUUAGAAUACCUCGUCAAAUGACAUGGCUAGUGAUUCGAGUUCCUAGAUCAGUUAUAAAAUAGGACUAGUGAUUCAAGUUCCUAGUUUAAUAAAAUAAAAUAACUAGUGAUUCGAGUUCCUAGGUUGGUGAAAUGACUAGCAAUUCGAGUUCCUAGCUCAAUAAAAUGGCAAAGAGAUUGGUCGAAUGGGUCAACAUGGUUAAAUUGGUUGACUUGGUCAAAUGUGAUAUAUUGGUUGAGUUGGUUUGGGGUUUGGAUCCCCGUGACUAAUGUAACAACGAAGUAUAAGUUAUAAACUUAGUAAGGUGGAAGAUUGAAUGUUCUUCACUCCAUGUCAUGUAUGCUAAUUCUUGUUCCUUUUGUGGCAUAAUAUGAACAUGAUGUAUAUGUCUAUGUAUAUGAGUAUGUUUUUAAGAAGGUGAUUAAAGUUCUAUGCUUAAUAAGAACGAUUUGAACCUAAGUGAGGAAUAUCGGAGUCCUCCACUUUAUGUUUCAUGAUUGAAAAAGUUGAGAAUGUUGUUAAAUUUUGAUAUCUUGUUGACAUACGAUAUAUCUAUACAUAAGGAUAAGUGUAUAAAUAUUAUUGAACGCGAUACAUUGACUUAUUGUUGAAUGAUGAUAUUAUUUUAUCCUUAUCCUUGAGUUACAUGCUAGCACUCAAAUUGUUAACCGUCUCUGGACGCUAUGUCUCCACGCAACAUAAGAGCUAGAGCUUCUUCUUUUUAUAUGCAAUGAACAGGUGUUUGAGCGGAUUCAUGCAUUGAGCUUGAGGUGGUGAGCUUCCAUACUCUGAAAGACCUACCCUUUAUAGUCACGUUACUCUACAUCAUAGACUUGUAUAGAUUUUUUAAUUAGCUAAUGUCGGGGACAUGUCCCGACAUAUCUUUGAAUUUAGUUUGGUAGAGGUUUUAUGGAUGACUAUGGACUUGGGCAUAUUGGCUAGACUGUUGUUAUUAAUGAAAUAUUAGAUAUUGUCUUUUAGUCUUACAUUUCUGGAAUCUUGCUAUAUGGUUGGACUUCACCCGACCCUUGUGGAUGAUUGUUAAAGAUUAGGUUAGGUUAUCGAGGAGACCUCCUAUUCAUGUGAUCUUGAGGUGCCCAUAUGACAUGGCUCGAAGUUCGUGUCGUGUCACUUGCGGCCAGACUCUGACUCACCAUCCUCUUCAGACUGGAACUGUGUGUGGCGGUUAUUUACUAGGAUUCCUUAUCCUUGGCCUAGUAGGUGAAGGUGUUUCUUUCGGUGGAGCAACUUUAGAUCCCAGAGGUUGACUUUUUCUUGAUUUCACAUCCCUUAGGUGGAUAUUCUUUGAUGAUCCACUUGACUAAUCGUCACUGGCUUUAUUCUUAAGAUGAUGAAUGAUGGGGAUUGCUUCAUUGGUGUUUACUUCUUGGUUAAAUAAUUCUUGGGUGCCAUUGGUAACUAUGGAAGCACACACGUUAGUUAAUCCUAUGAAAAAGAAAGAAAAAAAAAAUAAACAAGUAUGCAUCAGUUGUUGGGUACCCUAUGAGUCAGGUACCACUCGUAGCGUGAAAAAAGAUAUAUGGAUCAUUUAGUGGUCAGGCUAUGAGUUGUUGUGUCAGAAAAUGAAUCAUCACCAACACUUAUAGUCUGACAAGAAAUAUUUCCUUAAGGUAUUGCCCCGCCCAGUCACCACGAGUCCAAACUAUGAGUGUAUGGUGAGACAACAACUAGUAGUGUGAGCAGAAACCAAGUAUCCCUUAGCAUCCAUGUUCCUAGUGGCUACAGAUCAUUUAAUGACUUGUUAGUAUACCCUAUGAGUUGUUAUGUUCCCCAUAGUAACUGUUACAUGGAUAUUUAGAGGGCUUGAUUUUAAAUAUUGACUUCCCAAGGGUACUCAGACUUUUCCAUGGGUUUAACAUCUACCAUACACUCCUAAUUCAUCCCCAUAUUCUAAGUUCAACCUGUUCUAUUUCUCAAGAACAAAUAUACAUGGAUUUAGCCUAAGCACAUAAUUAAACAUAUCAUCCAUGUGUUCUUCAGGAAAAAUUUUCCACAACAUAGGGUUUAUAUCAUUAAAGUCGUAAUACUUAAAUGACAGAAUAAUUUGCUUGAAUUUCUCAAAAUUUUUUGCGGUUUCCCUUUAUUCUUAUGAAUAGAGACUUUUGGAGAGAUUUUACUUUGAUUUUGAUGUGAAAGGGGUAAUUUUGGGUAUGUAUUUUAAGAGUUAAAAAAUAGUUAUAGGAAUGGAGGGAGUCACAGACUUUUAAAUAGAUGUAAAUCAGUUUAUGGGUUUUGGUUUCCUUUAAUUUCAUCCGAGUUGGGUCGGGUCCACAUUGGGCCCACAAUGUUGAGCCCAAUAAUUAGUCAUGGUAAUGACUCAUUCCCACAAUCUACAAGUCAUAGACCCCAUCUAUUAUGACUAAAACCUUACCUAGGUUCUCCAGUAAUGACGAAUCAAGUUAAUGAGUCAUUGACAAUGACAAUGUCUCAUUCUGAGAGUCGUCAUGACUCUAGAGAAAACUUACCUAAGAUGGACUGGGCUCCUUCUCCCUACGACUCCUGGUGAUGAGUCGUAAGGUGACCCUAUGACUCGUAGGGUCCCCUAUAGGGACCUGUCACCAGAAAACUUUUUGGUAUUUUUAUACAAUCUCCAGUCCUGCACACUGAACACACAAGUCACCCCAUAAUGUAACAAGUACAAAGCAUGGGUUUCCUCCCAUAUAGCGCUUGAUUUAACAUCAUGGAAAAAUGUGUCUAAGUUGGAUACUCAGACUUCACCAACCAGCCCAUAGGUUUCCUCCUAUGUAGUGCCUGAUUUAACAUUACGGCACGACACAGUUGUCUUGGUCACUCAAACUUCACCAAGGUCCAUAUAAACACAUACUUUCACCUCAUCAAGGUUUUCGAUAUAGUGCUUCACCCGCUGCCCAUUCACCUUAAAUGAGGCUUCGCUAUCAUGUUUCAACUCGAUAACACCAUAUAGGAAUACCCGAACCAUGGUGAAUGGUCCAUACUACCUAGACUUCAACUUUCCAAGGAACAAGUGAAGUCUUGAAUUAAACAACAAGACCAAAUCACGGGACUUAAACACUCAUUUCUCGAUUCUUUUGUCAUGAUACAACUUUAUCUUUUCUUUGUAUAGAGAAGAACUCUUAUAAGCAUGGAGCCAUAACUUAUCCAACAUAAUCACCUUGCUUAAUCAUAACUUAGCUGCAUCAUACCACUCCAAAUUAAGCUUUUUCAACUCCCAUAGUUCCUUGUGCUCAAGUUUGAUCGGCAAGUAGCAUGCCUUUCCAUACACAAGCUGAUAUGGAAAGGCACCUAUGGGGGUCUUAAAUGCUAUUUGGCAGUCCUACAAUGCAUCAUCUAACUUUCUUGACCAGUCAGUCAUGUUGGCAUUCACAAUCCUUGCCAACAUGGACUUGAUCUCUCUAUUGUACACCUCAACCUGCCCAUUCGUCUAAGCAUGGUAAGGUAUUGACACCUUAUACUUAACACCAUAUUUUUUUAGUAGGGACUUGAAAAGGUGAUUGCAGAAGUAAGACCUACCAUCACUAAUAAUUGGAAACGAAGUGCCAAACCAGGAAAAGAUGUUCUUUUUUAAAAAUGUAGUGACACUUUGACCCUCAUUGUUGGGAAGUACAUCCACCUCCACCUACUUUGAAGCAUAGUCGACUACCACUAGAAUGUACUUAAUCUCAUAGGAUCUUAUAAACAUUCCAAUGAAAUUAGUCCCCCAUACAUCAAAUAAUUCCAACUCUAAGAUAGGUGUCAUGGAGAGUUCAUAUUUCUUUGAGAUAUUGCCUUGUCGCUGACACCGGUCAUAAGCUUAAGCAUAGUCAUGAGCAUCCUCAUAGAUAGUUGGACAAUAAUACCCACACUGCAAAAUUAUAUGGCUAUUCGGGUACCACCAUAAUGACUCCCAACAGGAGAUGAAUGACAACCCUUAAGGAUGCUUAUCAUCUCUACUUCAGGAAUACAUCUAUGAAUAACACCAUCCAAACAAAUCCAAAAGAGAUAAGGCUCAUUAGAGAAAAAUUUUCUCACCUCAUGUAUGAACUUCUUUCUUUGCUGGAAUGAUAAAUCUUUCAAAACAAGAUCACUUGCCAAAAAGUUGGCAAAGUCAAAAAACCAAGGGAUUAAAUCUUGAGAUGCUGCCAAGAUAUGCUAAUUUGGAAAAGUAACAUCUAUGUCAAGAUCAUCCCCUAACUUCUGCAUUGUCUCCUCCUCAAGGUGAGAUAAGUGAUCAGUAACCUAGUUCUCAAUGCCCUUUCAAUCUUUCACCUCAAAGUCAAAUUCUUGCAACAAGCAGACCCAACGUAUUGACCUUAGUUUAGCAUCCUUCUUAGACAUUAGAUAUCUUAAAGAUACAAAAUCUAUGUGCACUAUGACUUUAGUCCUACCAUAUAAGACCGAGACUUCUUGAAGGCAAAAACCAUUGCAAGUAACUUCCUGCUUAGUGACUGUAUAGUUCUUCUAUGUAGGUUUUAAUUUAUUUCAAUCAUAAAGAUUAGGUGAAGGAUUUUCUUGCAUAUUUUUCCUAGGAAAGCUCCCAAGGCUAUCCCACUAGCAUCACACAAAACCUCAAAUGGUAAAGACCAGCUAGGGGAUACAAUAAUAGCAUCCUAGAUCAACUACUCCUUAAGGCACCCAAAGCCUUGAGACAUACAUAAUUAAAUACAAAUUUCACCUCUUUCUAUAAAAGCUUGCGUAGAGGAUUAGCAAUUUUAGAGAAGUCCUCGAUGAACCUCCUAUAAAAGCCAAAUAACCCAAAAAGCUUUGGAUACCUUUAAUUGAGACUGGGGGAGGUAAUUUUUCAAUCACCUAAAUCUUCGCUCUAUCCACCUUAAUACCCCAUUUAUAGAUUUUACGACCGAGGACAAUACCUUUUUUCACCAUAAUAACACCUCUCUAAAUUCAGCAUUAGAUUACAUGUCUCACAUCUUUGGAAUUCAUUGGCCAAAUAGUUUAAUAAAUCAUCAAAGGAGUCCCCAACUACUGAAAAUUCAUCCAUGAAUACCUCUACAGUGUCUUCUACCAUGUUAGAAAAUAUAGACACCAUACAUCUCUGAAAGAUAGUGGAAGCAUUGCAUAAUCUAAAUUGCAUCAUCUUGACUACAAAAGUCUUAUAAGGGCAAGUAAAUGCAGUCUUUUCCUGGUCCUUGAGAGCAAUAAAAGUAUAAUUGUAUCAUGAUUACCCAUCAAGGAAAUAGUACCAAACCCUGGUUGUUGGUCUAUUAAGCAUAUGAUCCAUGAAUGGCAUAGGGAAAUGGUCCUUUUAAGUCUAAGUACUCAACUUCUUGUAAUCCAUAAAUGCUCUCUAUCUGAAAACUGGUCUCAUGGGCACCAAUUCAUUCAUUAGGGUCCACAGUGAUCCCACUCUUCUUAGGCACGCAUUGAACUUGGUUGACCCACUUGUUGUCUGCUAUAAGGUAAACCACUCUAAUAUCUAACCACUUGAUAAUUUCUUUCUUCACUACCUCCUACAUCUAUAGAUUCAUCCUAUGCUAGUGCUCGAUGCUGGGUAUAUACUCUGAUUUAAGUUGUAUCUUAUGAGUGCAAAUAUAUUAUCCCAUAAUGCCUGCAAUAGUUUAUCCUAUGGCCCUCUUGAUCCUCUACAACAUUGAAAGCAAUGAUUUAACCUGUGUUUCUAAUAAAUCAGCAGCAAUCAUGACUGGCAAGGUAUUAUCGACCCCCAAAAUGCAUAAUAAAAGUGAGAUGGUAGGGUCUUCAAUUCCAAGACCGGUGGAUCCUUCAUAGAUAGUUGAGUUGGAGGAGUGGUUCUAUUCUUCAUAUCAAGAUCCAGCUUCUUCAGAGUAUAGUUACUAAAACCUGUACCACACAAUGCACUUACCAUCUCAUCAUACUUAUCAAUGCCACCAUUGUCAAAGUUUAUGAUAACCAUUAUUAAUGCCUCAAGCCUAAGUCUCUGUUUAAUGGGCAUUUUCACUACAUCAUCAUUAAUAGUAUCAGUCAUGGAAACCACUCUCACAUCCUUAGGUUGUCCCAUAGACUGACACAUAUUAAAAGUAACAUGGUCAUUAUUGAGUCUAAACUUCAUCUGCCCUAUCUCCAUGUCAACCAAGUCCCUACCUAUAGCUAGGAAAGGCCUUCCCAAGAUAAAAGGGACUUCAAAGUCUACCUCAUAUACAAGAAUCAUGAAAUUGGCUGGGAAUAUGAAGGACACCACCCUCACCAAAACAUCACAAAAAAUACCAACCGAUUUCUUCACAGUUCGAUCAGCCAUAGAUAACCACAUGGAUAUAGGUUUAGGUAAAACAAAAAUUACUUGUAUAUUACUAAUAGUAUUAGACUAUACUAUCUCCCAAGUCACAUAAAUCUUGAGAUAAGUUGAAGGACCCAAUGGUACAUAGAAUAGUAAAUACUCUGGGGUCCUUCUUCUUCUUAACAAACGAUCAAGAAAUGAUGAAACUUUCUCAAAACUCACCAUCCAAUUUCUAGUAAAAAAAUCCUUCAUGAACUUAGCAUAGAUAGGCAUCUUAUCCAACACCUCUACAAAAGAAAUAUUAAUAGAUAGUUUAUACAAUAUCGGUAGAAACUUUUUCUACUUCCCUUCCUCUUAUUUCCUCUUCAAUCUCUAAGAAAAAUGAGAGAGAGGUCAUGGAAUGGUAUUCAAUAUAGGAUAGACUACCUUUUAAUUUCCUUUAUCCUUCCUAACACUUUUAUCAACACCUAUUGAUUUUUGUGAUGACUCCCUACUAGUCACCAACUAUUUAGUUUCGGCUUUAAGGGUCUCAUCUUCAUCCACAAAAUCAUUCAUAGCUUUAUCAACUACAUACAUGGGAGGAUAAAUACUGGACUUACCAUUCUGAGUGGUGAUGGCCAAACAGUGAGUGUCGUUCUUAGGAUUAUGCAUUAUAUUACUCGAAAAGUUGCCUGGUUGAUGCUGAUUCAAGGUUGCAGACAUUUUUCUAAAUUGCUACUCCAAUUGUUUAAUUACGGUGGCAUGUGAUUCUAUGUAACGCCCUGGGAGUACACCCUAGACUUCACAGGUGAUCGAGACUACGAGUAGCCCCAAGCUAACCCUUUAAGCUUUCUAAACUUGGAACUCAUAAUAAAGGUAAACUUGACAUACAAAAUCUUAACUGAAUUAAUAUCUUAUCUGACAGUCUUAAUCUUAGAAAUCUUGAAAAUAAAUACUUUAGAAUAUAAAAUAUAAAAUAGUGCAACAAGCCUCUACCUCUAACUAGAGAGCCACUGGGAGAAGCCUCAGCUGACUCGAACUUGACAGAAAUCAAAUAACCAUAAUACUUUAUCAAUAUCAAAGUCUAAAUACAUGGGUCCUCGAACUAUAAGGACUGACCAAAUGUUUGGAUAUAGGUAGAGAUGCCUGUAGUCAAUCACACUGCUAGAACUAAGCACUAGGACCAUAUUAUAAGACAAUGUAGCACAUAGAUAUAUAUGUGGAUCAGUACUUCUUAAAUGUAUUGAGUAUGUAGGGGUGAAUGAAUAAGUAAAACAAUAACUCAAUGUCCAUAUCAACUUUCAAAGAAUGCAUGCUAAGUGUAAAUGGCUCAUCUUGGGCUUGAAUAAAAUUAAUAGUUGAUAACUCAUAAAUCAUGAAUAAUAAAGCAUACUGAAUAAAUUUGUGAGCCAUACCACUUAGUUCUAAAAGCCUUACUUUUAUUCUUUUUUGGGAGAUUUUUCUUACUGACAUAAACCAUGUGAGCUAACAUGGAGUCCAAUGUCCUACCCAUGUUGGGGAGAGUUAUUCUACCCUUUCCAUUGAAAUAGAACCUUAACUUGAGUGAUCACUAUCUUUAGCUUCAUCCAUAUUGGGAAUAAGCUUAACCUACAUUCUCUCGUAGUUCUGGGGCAUGCGACCUUGGACUCAUACCCAACUUGGUGCUAAAUACUACUCCCUUAUUACUUAUAUGCCCAUACUUUAGGAAAUCCACCUUAAAAUACCAUAAGAGUUUAUAAAAUGAAAACCAAUUAUGUUUCUCUUUGCUUUAAUUCUCAGAAUGAACAAAUGUGGAUUCCAUAUCAUAGCUUAGGAUCAAAAGAUCAUUUCUUACUUGAAAUAUUGGUAUAAACUUAUCAAAUAAGAACUUAAAAAUAUAAUUCUCUUGAAAUCUCAACACUUAAACUUAGGGCUUGAAAUUCAUGCUUAAAAAUCAUGGUAAUUCAUAACAACACUUCAUGCUUAAUAACAAUCUUGAAAUACCUCAACAAUAUCAAAUUAAAAUAGUUCAAUCUUAUUUAUAAUAUAAAUCUUAUAAGUUAAAACCCAAACCUAUGUAAUUCUUGAUAUACAUAAUAAUCACAUGCUUUAAGAAUGUAGAAACUUGGGUAUGAACCCUAAUUCAAAACAAGUAAUUUAAAUCUUAAAAUCAUGCAACUUGGGUACAAGGGUGAAAGGAUACCCUUGUUCAUAACCCCACAUACGUUGAUUGAAAGAAUCCUUAGAGAGAACUUCGAAUAUGGAACUUAACUUCUUGAUUCUUGAGAUAUGGCACUUGGAUUUUUUUCUUGGAAAUGAAGGAGGAUUUUUUAUUUGUUUACUGAUUUUUUAGGGUUAAGAGCAUGAAGUUAGUGAUUAAAUCAGUCAAAUCUAGUCUCCAGAAGAGUUAGUGAUGACUUUCUAAAUGAUUAAUGUUUAAAUCAGUUAGAAUUUUCCCAAUUUCGACCUUUUCUUAUAUCGAAAAUUGAAUUAGCUUUCCAAUGAUACCAAUUUUGUCUAAAUCCGAUAUUGGAGUAGAAUGUUAAGGACGAUUUAAUGAAAGCUAUCAAAACCACCCAGGUGCGACGAGCAGGUUGAUGGACCAUCGAGAUAGCGACGGACCGUCGCCUAAACCAUCGUAGCUAAUGCAGUAAGUCAAUCUUUUGGAUAAGGUGUGAUGAAUAGGUUGACAGACCAUCGAGUUAGCGAUGGACUAUCGCCCAAGCCAUCGCUACUAAGGCAGUGAGUCCCUAUUCUGGCCCAGGUGUAACGGUCAGAACGACGGACCGUCGAGCCAGUGAUGGACCGUUGCACGAGCCAUCAUAGAUCCCAUUCGACAAUUUAAAUCUAUUUUUAAAAGGGUAUUUGGGUCUUUUUCCACCUGUUUUAACCCCUAAUUAUACCAGACAAUAGCUCAUAACUUUGUUAUUUAUUCACAACAUCCAAUUAGGGAUUCUCUCAAAGAUUAAUCCCCAAGAACAAGAAACCCUAGGUACUUAAUUUCAACUCAAGCAUUCAAUCUUUCCUCCACAAAUCUUUAAGAAAUCAUCAACCCACGUAUGUCAAGUGUUCAUUCAUGGAUUCUUUUCAUCCAUGAAGCCCAAGAAUCCAAUUUUAAAUUAUAAAUUGUGAUGUUUAUGUUGUGGAUUGAUUUUGAUCAUGUUGAUUUUGUGUAUGAUACCCAAGUUGGAAUCGUUAAAUGUGUUUUCAUUAAUUUAUGCUAGCAUGUGGAUUGAAAUCUACUAAAUUAUAUUGAUUUAUGAAACCAUAAUGAAUUAAUUUAAUAUCCAUGCCUAAGCUUAUAGUUAUGCAUGCAAGGUGUUUGAUAAAAUGCCUAAGAGAAUAGGAAAUAUACCUUAUGACUCAAUUGUGACCAAAAUGAUGAACCUAUGCUUUACCCUUAUGUUUAAAAUGACUUUCAUGCUAUUGUUAUGCAUUGAAAUUGUUUGAUAGGUUGUUCAUGAGAUUAGCCUAUGAAAUUAUGACAUGUUUAUAUGCUUUCCUAUUCAUGUACCAAACCAUGAUAAUCAAGUGCCUCGUGAAAUUUCCUAAUGAUUAUAUUAUGGAUUAUUAAAUAUGGUUGUGAGUCUAGGAAGUGUCAUGUUUUGUUAGUUUUAUGCUAUCAAGUCCUGGAGGUACUUGUACCCGAUAAUUUAGCUGUGUGCCUAGAGCUAGUGUCAUGUUUUCAAGAUACCCUCAGUCAAGCCAUGUUCAGUAGAAUUCAGUCAGUCUUAUGACUCAGGAAAACUAAAUAACCUCAGUCAGUUAUCAGAUCUCAGUGAUACUCUAUCAGUUAACGGAACUCAGUAAACUUAGUCCAGUCAGUUCAGUAUAACUAAUUCAGUGUCUAAUCAGAUGGGAAUAGGAUUCAGCACUGUGUAAGCCCAAGGAUGGGAACUCACCUACGAGUAGAAAGUGUGAUUCUUAGAAGCAAUCCUUAUGGUUCAGAACUACGUAGCCAGCGUAGGUUGAGACAUCUAACCUAUUAGAUGAGGGUUGAUGAGGUGGCUUUACCUAUUAUAUGAGGGUCCCACCAUUCUCGUUAGAGUACCUGUUAGAUGAGGGAUCACUCACAGCUUAUCCUUACCAAUGGCGCGGUAUUAACACCUUUCCAAUUGGGGUUACAGAUUGGACCCCAACUCAGCUAUAUUGCUUUAAUUAGGGUAUGUAGAUUAGAUGACUACUUCCCACAAUUAUAAUUUUAGUCUCAAUCUCAAUAAUAAAACUCAGAUAGUUCUACAGAAUUUAGGACUAUCAAAUACAGUCAACUCAAAAUAAUAUGAAACUCAGCUAGCCCUAUCAGAACCUAGACUGUCAGAUACAAUUGCUCGGUAUCAGUUAUAAGUACUUAUGUUAUCAGUAUUCAGACUCAAUAGUCAGUAGCAUUAUGAAUUCAGUUAUAAUUAUUUAUUUAUACAUGUAUUCUCACGUUCAUGUUAUAUAGUCGAUUAGCAUAGUUCAUGCUUAUAAACCCUUGCAUUCAGUCUACCUCACUUGCAUACCAGUACAUUCAAUCGUACUGAUGCAUUUGCCCUAUGGUGUUUUAUACCAUAGGUUCAGAAGCACGAGCUCCAGAACAUCAGUAGCAUUCCAGUCUCAACAGUUAGAGUUAGCAGUGAGUCCUCAUCCUUCGAAGACAUAAUCAUUUCUUUAUUAUUUCAUUACUUAGUUUAUUUUAGUAGUUAGAGUUAAUUAGGGACAUGUCCCAUCAACUCUUUAUUCAGAUAGUUUAGUUUUAGAGGCUUUCAGACUACAGUAUAUUCAGAUAGUUUAUUUUAGUUCAUAUUUUGGUACUGAUAUACCAUACUCUCAGAUAGUAUGUUUUAUCUAUUUUGAACCUUAUGGCAUAUUUCAGUCUAUUAUUUUUGUAUUUUACAUGAUGUCAUACAGUAUACAAGUACAGAUAUCAGUCAUGGAUUAGCUUGUGGUCCUUUGGAGUUGUGAGCACCGUGUAGCAUUAUGGGUACCAGAUUCAUGGCGUUACAAACUUGGUAUCAGAGCCUAAGGUUCAAUAGUGUCCUAGGAAGUCUGAAAACUGCAUCUAGUAGAGUCUUGUGCAUAGGUGUGUUGCGCACCAUAAUUAUGUACAGGAGGCUAUGAGAUAUUUUAGGAACAGUUUUCCAUUUUUUAGUAUUCAUGUCAUGCUAGUGAUCAUAAUCUCAAGUUAAUCUCUCAGUCUAAUCCCUUUCUCUUCCAUUUAUAGAACAUGCCUCCUAAGAAGAGAACUAGAAAUCAGUCAGCCCCUCAGCCCAAAAAUCCUUUGGGCGAAUAUGUCUUUUAUGCAGAGUUUAGAGCUGCAUUCACUACUCUUGCUCAGUCAGUUACUACUCAGAAUGAACUACCGGCUGUCAUUCCAGCCAACUCAGUGGCCAAUUCAGCUACAGCCAAGAUUCGAGACUUCACCCGAAUGAAUCCUCCAUCCUUUUUUGGGUUCCUCAGGAAUUCCUUGAUCAGGUUUAGUAGGUUACCGACAUCAUGGGGGUUACUUCUAGUGAGAGUACUGAGCUAGCUGCAUAUCAGUUUCAAGAUAUUGCUCACACUUGGUUCAAAUAAUGGAAGUCAAAAAGGUCAGUUGAUGCAGGAUCCAUAGAGUGGGAGGAGUUUUUCACUGUAUUCCUAGAGAGGUUCUUUCCUCUAUAUCUGAGAGAAGCUAAGGUGUUAGAAUUUAUCAACCUUAAGUAGGGAAACAUUGUGGUGAAAGAGUAUUCUCUUAAGUUUACUCAAUUAGCCAGAUAUGUUUCUCAUGUGGUUGUAGAUAGCAGGGCCAAGAUGAGUAAGUUUGUCUCUGGGGUGAAUAAUAAUAUGGUCAAUUAGUGCAGGUCCGCAAUGUUUAAUAGUGACAUGAACAUAGCCAGGCUUAUGACCCAUGCUCAAUAGAUAGAAGAACAAAAGAUAAUAAUGAGGGAAAAGCAGAAUAAUAGAGCAAGGAUCGGUAGUUUCAACUUUGCUCAGCCUAAGUUUGAGGGAGGAAACCAUUCUUAGUUCCAUCCUAAAUUAUUAGUUCCAGCUCCUUCUUCAGCCAGUACUCCAGCUCCUAAGUUUAGGGAUGGUAAUAGAGAUAGGGCACCAAGAUCUAAGUCUUAGGGCAGUGUUAGCAAUGUCCAAACUAAUCUCAUUUGUCAGACUUGUGGUAAGAACCACAAGGGUGUUUGCAGAGCUGGCAGCGAUGUCUGUUUUGGAUAUGGCAAGCUAGGCCAUAGAGUCAGAGAUUAUCCCCAAUCAGGUUAUCAGGGUCAGUAGAAUAGUUCCUCAGCUCAGUCCGGUCACCCAAAUCAGCAGGGUACCACUUCUAGUGCUACUAGUGGGAAACACCCAAACAGACUUUAUGCUCUCCAGUCCCAGAAAGAUCAGGAAAAUUCUCCUGAUAUGGUUACUGGUAUGUUACAGAUCUUUCACUUUCUUGUUAUGCUUUGCUAGAUCUAGGAGUUUCUUUGUACUUUGUUACUCCUUACAUAGCAGUUGAUUUCAGAGUUAGUCUCAAAAUUCUAGCAGAGCCCUUCUUAGUAUCUACCCUAGUGGGUAAAACUAUUAUAGCCCGACGGGUAUAUAGGAACUAUCCGAUUAUGGUAUCUCAGAAAAUCACUUUAGCAGACUUAGUCAAAUUAGAGAUGACUAAUUUUGAUGUCAUUCUCAACAUGGAUUGGCUUCCUUCCUGCUAUGCCAUAGUUGACUGCAGAAACAGAGUUGUCCAAUUUUAGUUUCCAAAUCUGUCCUAGAAUGGAGGGGUAGUACUUCAGCUUUCAGAGGUCAACUUGUUUCCUACCUUUGGGCACGAAAAAUGAUAUCUAAUAGAUGUGUCUAUCAUCUUGUUCGAGUUAAGGACAUUAGUUCCAAAACUCCAAAUCUUAAAUCAGUCCUAGUCAUGAAUGAAUAUUUAGAUGUCUUUCUCAAAGAUUUUUUAGGAAUUCCUCCCGAAAGGGAAAUAGACUUCGGCAUUGAUCUUCUUUCAGAUAUUCAGCCUAUAUCUAUUCCACCAUAUAGAAUGGCACCAGUAGAACUUAGAGAAUUAAAGGAAUAGUUAAGGGAUCUCCUAGACAAGGGAUUCAUCAGACCCAGUGUAUCCCCAUGGGGUGCACCAAUCUUAUUCGUAUGAAAGAAAGAUAGUUCUCUCAGAAUGUAUAUAGACUACCAUCAACUCAAUAAAGUCAUGGUCAAGAACAAGUAUCCUCUUCCCAGAAUUUAUGAAUUGUUCGAUCAACUUCAGGGUGCUAGCUAUUUUUCUAAGAUAGACCUCAGAUCAGGCUAUCAUCAGCUUAGAGUCAAAAGAAUGUGACAUUCCAAAAAUAGCUUUUCGUACUCGGUAUAGUCACUUCAAAUUCUUAGUUAUGUCCUUUGGUCUUACCAAUGCCCCAGUAGCUUUCACGGACUUGAUGAACCGUGUGUUCAAGCAGUACUUGGACAUGUUCAUCAUAGUCUUCAUAGAUGACAUUUUUGUCUAUUUCUGCAAUGAACGUGAUCAUACAGACCAUCUCAAAAUCAUGCUUCACACUCUAAAAUAUCAUUAGUUAUUCACCAAAUUCAGUAAGUGUGAAUUUUGGCUAAGGCCAGUAUCAUUCCUUAGUCAUAUCAUUUCUAGUGAUGGUAUUAAAGUUGAUCCUCAAAAGACCAAAGCAGUAAGAAACUAGCCUCACCCUGUAUCUCCAUCAGAUAUCAGAAGUUUCUUGGGUUUGGCUGGCUAUUUCAGAUGGUUUUUUGAUGGGUUUUAUUCUAUUGCAUUCCCUAUGUCCAAAUUGACUCAGAAGAAAGUCAAGUUUCAGUAGUUAGAUCCUUGUGAGAAGAGUUUUUAAAAGUUGAAGACUUGACUCACCUUAACUCCAGUUUUGGCUCUUUCAGAUGGUUUAGAUGGGUUCAUAGUAUAUUGUGAUGCAUUGAGAGUAGGUUUGGGUUGUGUCCUUAUGCAAUAUGGUAAGGUCAUAGCCUAUGCCUCCAGACAGCUAAACCCCAUAAGAAGAAUUAUCCAACUCAUGAUCUUGAGGUAGCAGCCGUAGUUUUGCCUUAAAGAUCUAGAGGCAUUAUAUCUACGGAGUUCAUAUAGAUGUGUUUAUAGAUCACAAAGCCUUCAGUAUGUCUUUUCUUAGAAAAAUCUCAAUCUUUGCUAGAGGAGGUGGUUAGAGCUCUUAAAGAUUACGACAUGAGUGUUAUUUAUCAUCCAGGAAAGGCCAAUAUGGUGGUCGAUGCUCUCAGUAGAAUAUCUAUAGGUAAUUUUUCUCAUAUUGAGGACAGUAAGAAGAAGUUAGCUCAGGAAGUCCAUCAGCUUGCCCGACUAGGUUUCCACCUAGUUGAUUCUUCAGAGGGUAAUAUAUGGGUUCAGAAUAGUUCAGAAUCAUCUCUAGUUUUUGAGGCAAAAGAAAAGUAAGAUAGAGAUCCCAGUCUAGUCAAGUUGAAAGAGUCAGUCAAGGAUCAAAAAGUAGAGAUUUUAUCCUAAGGGGGAGAUGGUGUUCUGCAUUAUUAGGGUCGUCUGUGUGUUCCAAGUGUAGAUGAGUUAAGAUAUCAAAUUCUUGUACAACCACAUAGUGCACAUUACUCUAUUCAUCCAGGGGUCACAAAGAUGUACUGCGACUUGCGAAAGGUCUAUUAGUGGAGUGGAUGAAGAGAGAUAUUGCAGUAUUUGUGGCUAAAUACUCUACAUGUCAGCAAGUUAAGAUUGAGUAUCAAAAUCUUAGUGGGUCCAUGCAGGUGUUCAAUAUGUCUACUUGGAAGUGGGAAGAAGUGAACAUGGACUUUGUGAUGGGUUUGCCUCGUACUCAUCGCCAGCAUAAUUCAUUGGUUCAUUUUCGACAGGAUACCCAAAUCAUCUCAUUUUCUUCCAGUCCAUACCUUUUAUUCAGCUGAGGAUUAUGCCAGACUCUAUAUUAGGGAGUUGGUCAGAUUGCACGGUGUUCUAUUAUCUAUUAUCUCAGACAGACGUACCCAGUUCACCUCUAAUUUCCAGAAAGCAUUCCAAAAGGGUCUUGGUACCCAAGUUUAUCUCAACACAGCCUUCCAUCCCCAGAUAGAUAGUCAAGAAAAAAGGACCAUUCAGACUUUAGAAGAUAUGCUAAGGGCAUGUGCAAUUGAUUUCAAGGGUAGUUGGGAUAACCACGUGCCUUUGAUUGAGUUUGCAUAUAAUAAUAGCUAUCCUUUUAGUAUUUGGAUAGCUCUAUUAAAAGCUCUUUAUGGUAGGAGAUGCAGGUCUCCAGUCAGUUGGUUCGAAUUUAGUGAGGCCUCAGUUAUACGGCUUGACUUAGUAUUUGAUGCCUUAGAAAAAGUCCAGUCAAUCAGAGAAAAACUCCAGACUACUUAGAGACGACAGAAGUCUUAUGAAGAUGUACGCAGAAAGGAUCUUGAGUUCGAGAUUAGUGAUUAUUUCUAUUUAAAGAUCUCGCCUAUGAAGGGAGUGAACCAGUUCGGCAAGAAGGGAAAGAUCAGUCCUCGAUAUUUUGGUCCCUUAAAAAUUCUCAGUCAAUUCAGCAAGGUAGCUUAUGAGCUCGAGUUGCCUUCAUAUCAGGCGCCAAUUCAUCCAGUUUUCCAUGUCUCUUUUCUCAAGAAGUGCAUAGGUGACCCGACAAUCGUAGUCCCUAUUAAGAGCAUAGAUGUUUAGAACAGCCUCUCUUAUGAAGAGAUUACAGUCGAAAUCCUAGACUAUCAGACUUGCAAACUGAGGAACAAAGAAGUCCCUCUAGUCAAAGUUCUUUUCCAAAAUUAGUCCAUUGAGGGAGCUAAUUGAAAAGCAGAAGCAGAUAUGCAAACCAAGUACCCUCACCUCUUUUCUGCUAACUCAGAUCUAGUUCAAGGUAAUAGUUCUCCUUAAGCUUUUCAGUUUCAUGUUCAGGUUUCAAUAACAAACUUGGUAUCCAUUUCAUGUUCAGAAUUCCAUUAUAAACUUGGUAUUAAAUAGCAUUGCAUAUUCAGUUAUUCAGUCAUAUAUCAGUUCAGUCAAGUAAUCACGUAUUAGAUAUGCAUUCUCAAUGUAAGAAACUUAGUUCCUCAGAACACUCAGUCAUGCAUUCAGGAAUCAGUUACUCAAGCAUCAGAUAUGCAUGUUUGGUAUGAUAUAUAUUCAGUUUAUCAUUUUUGUUAAUCAUGGAUUCAUGUUUUAGUCAUUCAUGUUCAGGAUGUGCUUUAGUCUACUAUUUCUCCUCUCUCAGUCAGUCUCAUUCGAGGAUGAAUAUUUCCAAGGAGAGAUAUUGUAAUACCCUAAACUUUAUUUAAGUCAAAUCUAGUCUCCAGGGGAGUUAGUGAUGACUUCCUAAAUGAUUAAUGUUUAAAUCAGUUAGAAUUUCCCUAAUUUUGACUUUUUAUCUGUGGGAAAUUGAAUUAGCUUUCAAACGAUACCAAUUUCUUCCAAAUUUAGGAUCAGAGUAGAAAGUUAUGGACAUUUUACUGAGAGCUAUCAGAACCACCCAGGUGCGAUGGGUAGGUUGACGGACCGUUGAGCUAAUAACGGACCAUCACCUAAACCAUUGCAGUUAAGACAGUAAGUAAAUCUUCUAGCUAAGGUGUGACGGAUAGGUUGAUGGACCGUCGCCCAAGUCGUCACUACUAAGGCAGUGAUUCCCUAUUCUGGCCAAAGUGUGACGGUCAGAACGAUGGACCGUCGAGCCAGUGAUUGACCGUUGUAUGAGCCAUCACAAAUCUCGUUCAGCAAUUUAAUAGGUGUUUGAUAAAAUGCGUAAGAGAAUAGGUGUUUGAUAAAAUGCCUAAGAGAAUAGGAAAUAUGCCUUAUGACUCAAUUGUGACCAAAAUGAUGAACCUAUGUUUUACCUUUAGGUUCAAAAUGACUUCCAUGUUAUUGUUAUGCAUUGAAAUUGUUGGAUGGGUUGUUCAUGAGAUUAUCCUAUGAAAUUAUGACAUGUUUAUAUGCUUUCCUAUUCAUGUACCAAACCAUCAUAAUCAAGUGCCUCGUGAAAAUCCCUAAUGAUUAUAUUAUGGAUUGUUGAUUAUUCUCGUGAGUCUAGGAAGUGUCAUGUCUUAUCAGUUUCAUGCUAUCAAGUCCUGGGGGUACUUGUACCUAACAAUUUAGUUGGGUGCCUAGAGCCAGUGUCAUGUUUUCAAGCUACUCUCAUUCAAUCCAUGUUCAGUAGAAUUCAGUCAGUCUCAUGACUUAGGAAAACUCAGUAAUCUCAGUCAGUUAGCAGAUCUCAGUGAUACUCCAUCAGUUAAUGGAACUCAGUAACUCAAUCAAGUCAGUUCAGUAUAACUAAUUCAGUGUCCAAUCAUAUGGGAGUAGGAUUCAGCUACGAGUGAGCCCAAGGAUGGGAACUCACCUACGAGUAGAAAGUGUGAUUCUUAGAAGCAAUCCUUGCGAUCUAGAACUAUGUAGCCAGCGUAGGUUGAGACAUCUAACCUGUUAGAUGAGGGUUGAUAAGGUGUCUUAACCUGUUAGAUAAGGGUCCCAUCAUUCUUCUUAGAGUACCUUUUAGAUGAGGGAUCACUCAUAGCUUAUCCUUACCAGUGGUGCGGUAUUGACACCCUUCUAAUUAGGGUUAUAAAUUAGAUCCCAACUCAGGUACAUUACUUUAAUUGGGGAAUAUUGGUUAGAUGACUACUUCCCACAGUUAUAGUUUCAGUCUCAGUCUCAGUAAUAGAACUCAAAUAGUUCAACAGAAUUCAGGACUAUCAGAUACAGUCAACUCAAAAUAGUAUAAAACUCAGCUAGUUCUAUCAGAACCUAGACUGUCAGAUACAGUCGCUCAGUAUCAGUUAUCAGUACUCAUGUUAUCAGUAUUCAGACUCUGUAUUCAGUAUCAUCAUGAAUUAAGUUACAGUCCCUUACUCAUACAUGUAUUCUCCCGUUCAUGUUAUACAGUCGAUUAGGAUAGUUCAUGCAUAUAAACCAUUGUAUUCAGCCUACCUCACUUGCAUACCAUUACAUUCAAUCGUACUGACACAUUUGUGCUAUGGUUUUUUAUACCAUAGGUUCAAAAGCAUGAGCUCUAAAGCAUCAGUAGCAUUCCAGUCUUACCAGUCACAGUUAGCAGUGAGUUUCCAUCCUUCGAGGACAUGAUCAUUUCUUUAUUAUUUCAUUACUUAGUUUAUUUUGGUAGUUGGAGUUAGUUAGGGACAUGUCCCAUCAACUCCUUAUUCUGAUAGUUCAGUUUUAGAGGCUUUCAAACUACAGUAUGUUCAGACAGUUUAUUUUAGUUCAUGUUUUGGUAGUGAUAUACCAUACUCUUAGAUAGUAUGUUUUAUCUAUUUUGAACCUUAUGGCAUGUUUCACUCUAUUAUUUAUGCAUUUUACAUAAUGUCAUACAGUAUAUAGGUACAGAUAUCAAUCAUGGGUUAGCUUGUGGUCCUUCAGGGUUAUAAGCAUCAUGUAUUGUUUUGGGUACCAGAUUCAGGGUGUUACACAAACUAUACCCUCAAAGAAGAUAAAAUACAGUCGUUGUCAAAUUAUAGUAACCCAAAUAGGUUGGGGUCAAACCCACAAAGAAUAAGUCAAAUCUAUCUCUUGAACUUACUAAAGUAGCCAAAAGUGUCAAAAAGUAAAUAGGGGGAAUUUGUAGAAAACAGUAAAAGUAACAAGUUGUGAAUGCUUUUGGUUGUAAAAAAUUUGAGACAAGCACUAGGAUUGUGUUUCCCUGGCUUACUAACUCAGUAGGUUUCUCAUCCUCAAUCUAACUAUCUUACCGUACACAUGCAGAAUCUGACAAUCUAGGUAUUGCCAAUCAUUUUGUGAAUGCAUUGAUAAAUCUCACCCAUUACCUUAUGAGUCUCAGGGUGUCUCCUUACUAAUCCUUGCCUUUUGAUCCGAAUUUAACUAUCACCUUAUGGGUCUUAAGUUAUUAUAUGAGGUUUGAUAGCCUCAAAUCAUUAUUAUAACCGCUUUCCUAAUCUCAAUCUCUCUUGUGAAGAUGAUAUCAAAUAAUGGCAAGUUCUUAGAGUUUUCCACAACUAAGAAAUCAAUUAAACUAAAUAAUAUCACAAUACAAGAAUAAAUAUUUAUCUAGAAGAACUUCACACUUCCCCUACUUUGUUUUUCUACCAGGGUUCAAACAACCCUAACUAUGAAAAUUAGUUGCUCAUUGUUGCAAACUAAUCCAUGGAAAUAAGAAUGAUCUCACAAUAAUGAAGGAUAAAACCCAAAGUCUCUAAUUAAUUAAUCAACUAAAAAUCAAGAACAAAGAGAUUCCAAGAUCAAAAGUCAAACUUAGAAUCAAAUAUAUGUUUGUGGAUAGUAUAAUCAUGUAAUGUAUUACAAGAGUAUCCAAUGUGUAUUAUAGUUUCUCAAAAUAACAAAUAAAACCUAACCAAAAUAAAAUAGGAAAAUAAAGUUCGUAGUUAUUGCACCUCAGGCAACGAGUCAUCUGAACUGACGAUAACUCGUUGUCAACUUUAUUGUCGCUGUUCUGUUCUUGGAGAUGAUGACUCACGGUCAAGACAUAUGAGUUUUUGGCUGGACUCAUUGUCACUCCAGUAGAUUUUCACUUCUCUAGGCAUUCCACACUAUUGUCAUCAUGAUUCUUCCCUAUGAGGCUUGGUCUAUCAUAAUGACACAUGGUCACCUAUCAUUUAACUAGGGCUUCAACUUAUACAUCUAUAGGAUUUUGGCAAAUCUGCUUCGAAAGACUCAUGAAAUGAAUCGUGGUCACUCUUAAUGGUUUAUCGUCAGCCUCAAAAUCACUCUUAGAAUUAGCAACCUUCACUGUUAUCACCACGACUUAUAAUAUGAGUUGUAUAGUAACCUAAGAACUCAUAGCCCAGUCAGAAUGUUUGAUUUUCAAACAUUUUCUUGUAUUUUUUAUUCAAUUCACUUCCAAUCUAUUUUCCCUGCAACAUACACAGAAACACACAUCAUAUCUAAUAAAAAUGCCUAAGUAUUUACAUAUUUUCCUAGUUUUAAGCAUCAAAAAUGCAAUGAAACCAUGGAACAUCAAUGAUCUAAGAAGAGGAUAUUAAGAAGUUGGAGUUAGAUUAGAGCUUAUCUUGUUCAUUAAGGCACAUAGUGAGAGAACCUUUUGAAAGAGGUGGUUGACUAAAGUAAAAACCUAUCUCAUACAAGGUUUGAUAUAAUGGAAAAUAUAUGUUCCUUGGUCAUUUAAGGAGAGAUAAGCUUUAAUUUUGUAUCUUUUACACUUGUUGAUAUGAUGAAACUUUCUACACAAAGGCACCACAAAACUUACAAGCUUUAAUAGUACAUUAAGGAUAGAGAGGGGACCAAGAAAGUUAUUGUUGGAUUUAUAAUGGGAAAGUAUCAAUAUGAAGCACAAUGUAAUGUAAUUCCCAUGAUAUUAUAUCAUAUGUUUCUUGGUAGGACAUAGAAAGAUAAUAGGUUAGUUUAAUAUCGAGGGAUGUCCAAUAAACAUAUUUGUAUUUGGAGGACAAAAUCUCAUUUUUAAGCCUUUGUCACUUGAGUAAAUAAGUUGGUAUUAUGAGAUCAUGAAAGGGUUUUUAGAAGUAUUGAAGAAGGAAGAGGUUGAAAAGAGGGAAAGGGAAUCAUCUCUUUUGCAAAGAAAGAAAGACUUGUCUCAAAGAAGAGAGUUGACUAAGAGUGUGUUCUAAGGAAUAGUUUGAAAGAAGUGGACAAGGAACACUUAAUUAUAGGUCUUGUCAACACCAAUCCCUUGUUACCACUAACCAAGAUUCUAGAAUUCUACUUAGUAUCUCUCCUUCUCUUGUGCAGGUUUGUGAAUAAAUACUUCUAAAGGGGUAUCCAAGGAGUAUUCCUUACGAACACAUGCUUGAAGACCUAAUUGAGUUCUUAUCUAAGAAUUCCAACUUGAGAAAAAGUGAUGAGGAGUUGAAUCAAUGGAUUAUAAUUGACGAACUCUCAUGUAAUGAUAACAUCCCAAAAGAGUAAAUAUGCUCCCAUGUCAAAGACUAAGGUCAAUACCAUAUUUCUAUUUAGCUACAAGGUAACAAUACAAACUCUUGCACUUAUUUAAACUUGAAAAUUCAUGAUGUGACUAGAAACCAAAGAGUAAAUAGUAGCUUAUCUAAUUUUGAAAAUAAUGAGUCUUCCUUUUGUGAUACUCUUGCUCUAUGUUACUUGAUGAUCAAUUUCUUAUUGUAAGCUUGUAAAUAUGUGUUGAUCAUAAAGAUAACCUAAUUGACUCUUCUAAUAAGCUCAAUUUGUGUCCACCUAGUGUUGGCACUUAUAGCUCGAAUAAGGUUCUAUUUCCAUAUGCUAAGAGUAUUCACCAACUAGUUGACCCUUGUAAAAAUCAAGGUACGUCUAUGUUGGCAUGUGAAUAAACUACUUCUAGUGACGAUGUGCACAUUGAUCAAGUUAUAUGUGUUAAUUCUCUAAGUGAGGACUUGUAUGAUGCUCUUAAUGAACCUCAACUUAGUAAUGUCAAAGAUAUAGUUGAUAUUGCAGAUUGUCAUGUAGUAUUCUUACUUAAAGGUGGUAAUUCCUUAGAUGUUGAAUCCCUUCCUUGUUCUUAUCACGAUAAUCUUGAGGCAGAAUAUGAUCUCAAGGAUAAGCCUUUAUUUGGUGAUGACAUGAGUAAGGUAAAAUGCAUUGGCCAACUUACUUGUGAAUCUAAUCUACUACUUGAGCAUAUUUUUGGUGUGCUUUACGAGCCUCAAUUUAGUAAUAAUGUUGAUAGAGUUAAUCAUCUGGUUAGAAAAAAUUCUUUAAGCAUUUUAUAUGAUGAAGAUCCUAUUACUAGUUUUUCUCAUAGAUAUCAUAUAGAUGAAAAUAUUUUGAUUAAUGACAUGUAUUUUUUUAGAGUGAACUUGUGUGCUUUAAUUCCCUAUAUUUGGUUGUUGAUCCUCUCUCAAAGAAAAAUUUCUUAAUUGAAAAUAGUGAAAUCACUUAAAGUUUGGCACCUAGUGAUGUGUCUUUUGAUAUGCUUAAAAAGAAGGAUAGUAAUCUUAAAAUUCAUAUAUUAUCCUAUUUCUUAAAGUCCAUUAAGAAUAUAGGAUUAAGUGAAGAUUGUGCUAACUAUCCAAUUGUUGAUCAUGAUCUUUCACUUUUGAAAAAGAAUGAUCAUUUGGUAAAGAUAGAUUUGGUUUUCUUGAAUAUUUAAGAAAGCCAAUUAGUGAUUGUUCUUUCGUUGAUGCCUUUAAAUGUGAUCCUUUAUAUGACAUCUCACCUUUGUUAGACAAAGAGGACCAUGAGUUACUUAAUUCUUGUGAUGACUUAAGUUAUGAUCUCCUUCAUGCUAGUGGUGGUUUGUGUCAAAUUGGGGAUCCUUCAAUUAAGCAAGAAGGUGUUAAUUGCUUAUAAAUUGCUUCUUUUUCUUCUUUUUUUUCUUCUUCUUUUUCUUCUUCUUUGUGUGAUCCCAUUAUUGAAUAUACUCAUGUUGAUGAUCUUAAAUCUAAUAGUAAGUACAUGCAUCAAGACACCUUAGUUGAAUUUAUUUUAUAUGACACAUUUCUUUACUCUCUAUUCUUAUGAUAUUGUACAUUAUUAUGUAGGGAGUAUGUCUUUUUAUGAUAAUGUCACCCAAGGGAAAAUGUAUAUAACAUUGGUCCAUGUUUAUGGAUAAUUCAUCCAUUUGACCUUGGUGCUUGUUUUGAGUUUGGUGAUGUUUAUACACCCAACUUGGUGCUUAGUCAAGACAACAAGUAAAAUUUAAUUGAGGUUGUACUCUUUCUUAAGGAUUUAUAAUCCGUGAUGGACCAAAGGUUUAUAAGGUAAAGAUCUCCAACAAAGAGGAGUAUUCUUUAAAGAAGGGGAGUAAUGAUAUUUUCCAAGAGAAUUCAUUAUUAUGUGUUCCCAUUCUUGACCAAGGAUUUAUGACUUGUAGGUCAAAGAGUGAUUUUAUAAUGCCCUGAGAUCUCAUCCCGAGACGUCACACGGCGCUUAUGACCCCGAAGGACCACAAGCUAACUGAUGAUAGGCGAAAUUACGCGCCUAUAUCAAUAUAUUUUGCCCAUAUUUUAGCCUAGUUUCGAGAACUAAUUAUCUAUUUCGUACACUUUUAGUCCUUUUUCCUGUAAAUGAGCUAACAAAUGUGAUUAGGAAAGUUUCAGGUAUAAAUGAUGCAAAAUACAGCAAUUUAUGGCUUACUUGACGCAAAAGAAAGCUCACAAACGAGAUGGAAAGGAGCUGGACGCAUAAAGGACUAAAUCUGCUGCAUGGAAAAUCUGUCCCGGGCUAAAACAGCAUUUCUGAAGACUUUGGGACUUACAGACACAAAGCUGGAUUUUUGCCAUAAUACAUUAACCUAGUGCAAUUAGGUUAUGUGUUUCAUCAUUCUAUUUGGAUUAUAAUUUUGUAACCUUACCCUAGUACAAUUGGGUCAAGGAUUUCAUUAGUAUAUUAGGAUUUGGUUAUUUAUUUUAUUAGUUUAGUAGGAGUAGGAUAGGAGUAUUAUAAAUACCCUAUCAUGUUAGAGAUUUUCAAGAAGGGAGACAUUCUGACAAUUCAUUCAUCUCCUUACAAUUAAGACAUCUUCCUACAACCCAUUCUCAAUUCUUCAUUCUUCUACUCUUAAAUUCCACAACAAGAGAAUUGUUACUUGCUACGGAAUCACUAAAACCACACGCCAAACACCUACUAUUCACGCCAUCCACCAUGCAAAACGUGAUAUCCUUCGCAUUCAUGGGUAACUAAAUCUCUUAGUUGGGGUUAUGGAAGCCGAAUGAGUUACUAUCUAUAGCUAUGAGUUUGUGAGUUCAAGACAAGUAUAUUGCUUAUAUCAUUAUUCUCUUCAUCUUAAAUCUACAUUCUUUGCGGUUCAAACACAAGAACACGCCAUUCUAACAUCUAACCUGUUCGAGAGAAAGGUUAUUUGUCUAGAAAAGAAGACGCAUAGACCAACGCCAGUCUAACAUCUGACUUGUUCGAGAGAAAAGUUAUUUGUCUGGAAAAGAGAUAAUGUCAAGGUAGUAGGACACCCUUUCCUAUUAAAAAGCUAGUGCCGUACCUGGACUAACUUCUUGGAGAAUUCGUACCGUUAGUCACGCUUUAAGCUCGAGAGAGUUAAAGUGAAAUAGUCCUUGUUUAGGUCGAGAGACGCUUGGAUUUACCAUCGACUACAAUUCUCUAUAAGCAAUUACAUGUCAAGACUCUACACACUCAUAGCCAAUAGAGACGUAUACCUCAGAAGGUGGACAUAACCCCAACGCCUCAAUUCUCAUUGUUUACAACACACGUGACAAUCUCUCUUUAUUUUGCUAUUUUCAGUUCUUACAUUCUUGUUUUGGUUACAUACUACAAUCCCCCCUUUCCUACGAGACUUGCACUAAAAGUCUAGUAAUUUUUCUUGCUUGUUGGCCAAGCUAUUCUCUGUGGGAUCGAUACCCAACCCAGGUUGGGUUCUAUAUUUGCUAACGACCGCUUUACACUCCCACGAGAGCUGUAGAUUGAGCGUUAUCAAAAAUUGGCGCCGUUGCCGGGGAAUACGAGUGUCAAUCAAGUUCGUGAAAAUUACUAGACCCUUUGGUCAAAGAUUCUCGUACUUUUACGUUUAGUUUUUGUUUUUGUUUAUUGCAGGUUUUUCUUUUAGUGCAUGCCCCAUACUAGAAGUUCUGGUCAACCGUUAUUACCAAUCAAUCCGGAACCACAACGAAUCAGAAGAAUGGAAGCACAAGCGGAAAUCGACAGGAUGGCUGCUCAACAUGAGCAAGCAAGAUUAGCUGCUCUUGCCGCUGCUCAAGUCCAACAACAAAACAUUGAUAAUCCUGGACGAGCAACAAAUCCUGACGAUGAAGAUUUAGGAGAUGACGAGUUGAUCAACCCAAGGCAUGGCGCUGAAAUGGCAACACCUACCAACAGACGAGGUCGACAAGCUCGGUACAGAUAUGAUCGCCAACCUUUGCAACCAGCUUUCGACGAUGAUGAUGAUGAUCUUGAUGGUGCCGGAGCCACUGGAGCUAUAAUUCCACCACCAUUAGCGCCCGGAGCCAAGUUCAACAUCACUAGCACCAUGAUUCAGUUAUUGCAACUCAAGGGAUUAUUUGGUGGACUAGCAGGCGAUGAUCCGAAUAUGCAUCUCAUCAACUUUAUUUCUACAUGCAAGUCUUUUGACAAUCCUGGAGUUGGUCAGAAUGCUAUUCGAUUACGUCUAUUUCCAUUGUCUCUGUCUGGGGAGGCAACAUUAUGGUUGAAUGGGCUGACUCCUGAUUCUAUUACAAAUUGGAGGCAAUUGAGAGACGCUUUCCUAGAAAGAUUCUUUCCGCCAUCCAAGAGGGCUCAAUUGAGAGAUGAAAUCAGCAACUUUCGUCAGCUUCCCUCUGAAGCUCUUCACGAAACAUGGGAGAGGUUCAAGACAAAGCUAGCGAGAUGCCCAAACCAUCACAUGACUAAUGUUCACCUCAUGGAGAUCUUAUAUAGAGCCUUGAAUUCAGUAACUAAACCAGUGGUGGACAACGCAGCUGGAGGUUCUUUUAUGGACCUCACCUUUGGUCAAGCAAGCAACAUGCUAGAUCGUAUGACGAAACAAAGUAGAGCUUGGCAUACCAGGGAUUCUGAGGUAGCAAGCCCCACUUUAUCUAUUGGCAUGUCUGCAGAUCAAAGAAGGAGAGAAGAAGAACGUGAUCAAGAUAUGGCGCACAUGAAAACCCAAAUGGAUCUUCUUACAAAGCAUCUAUUAGGGAAGACUGAAAAAGUGAAAUCUAUUGCGUCAAAAGGAAGAGACGAAUCUGAUUCAGAAGAGGAGGCCAACUACUUGAACAAUCAGGGGGGUUUCCGUGGGAAUGCCCAAGGAAACCAAGGUCGGAACUAUUAUGACAAAUCUGGAGGUAAAGACCAAGGUAGUUGGAAGAAAAAUAAUGAAAACAGUGGUUUGUACGUUCCCCCUGGUAGACGUGAUACCACCACAUCUAAUUCUAUGGAAGACAUGAUGGCUAAGUUAUUGAAAGGAGUGGAAGCGACGAAUGCGGGAGUUAAGGAGGUGAUUGACGAUUUGGCCUCCAUGAAGCAAUUAGUUGAUUCUCAUUCCACUUCUAUCAAGCAACUAGAGCAGCAAUUCAGUCAACUUUCAGCAACACUCAACCAAAGAAAAGCCGGCACCUUGCCUAGCGAUACGGUGCAAAAUCCAAGGACUGAUGGGUCAUGCAUGGCCAUCACUACGAGGAGUGGUAAGGUGCUGGAAACUUCAGCAGAAGGCAAGCAAAUAGUUGACAGAACAGCAGACACAACCGCCACACCUAGUGACGCCACUAGGGAAGACGCCGCAAUAUCCACUUCCAACGUCAAGGACGUGUUGCCUAGUGACGUGCAGCCUGAAAAAAGUAAUAAACGGAAGCAAGAGGAGAAGAAAGCCAUGGAAAGAACACUUCCAUACCCACCACCACCUUUUCCACAAAGACUGAAGAAGGCGGCCGAUGACACUAAGUUCAGCAAGUUCAUGACCAUCUUGAAGCAGCUGACUAUUAAUGUCCCAUUGGUAGAGGCACUUGAACAAAUGCCUGGGUAUGCGAAGUUUAUGAAAGAUCUUUUGACUAAGAAGAGGGCAGCAAGCUAUGAGCUGAAAGAAGAUGUGCAUCAUUGUAGUGCAAUAGCUACCCGAUCCAUAGUUCAGAAGAAGGCCGACCCCGGAGCUUUCACUAUUCCUUGCACCGUCGGAUCUUUGGACUUUGCUAAAGCAUUAUGUGACUUAGGAGCCAGCAUCAACUUGAUGCCAUUAUCAAUCUACAAGAAGUUGGGGUUGGGAGAUCCUACACCAACUAAUAUGAAGCUUGUUAUGGCGGAUAGGUCGGUAAAACGACCGGUUGGUAUUCUAUGCGAUGUCUUGGUGAAGGUAUCUUCAUUCAUAUUUCCAGCAGACUUUGUCAUCUUGGAUUGCGAAGCAGAUUCAGAGGUUCCCAUAAUCUUGGGACGCCCUUUCCUUGCUACGGGAAGUGUGCUCAUAGAUUUGAGAGCUAAUGAACUUUCAUUCCGAAUAAAUGAUGAAGUGGUGCGCUUUGAUGUUUGCAAAUCAAUGAAGCAACCCAAAGAUCUAAGUGUAUUUUCUGUGACUGAUGUUGUCGUUGAUGACGAGGAUGAGUUACUUGCUGAAGAACAAAUUCUUGAUGAUCCUUUGGAGGUUUUGCUCAUGGAAGAAGAUGAUGAUGAUGCUGAAAUUUCUGAAGAUGAUAUUUGUGCUCUAUCGGGAUUAGGAGCAUAUCGCUAUCCUCCUAAGAAGCUGGAUCUUGAUCUCAAGAAUCGACCCACACCACCAGCUAAGCCAUCUAUUGAAGAACCACCCACAUUAGAAUUAAAGGAGCUGCCAAGCCAUUUGAAGUAUGCAUUCUUAGGAAGCGGAAACACUCUUCCAGUCAUAGUGGCAGCCGAUUUAGGUGAGCAACAAGUUGCAGCUCUUAUUGCAAUUUUACGCAAGUAUAUUAGAGCUAUUGGAUGGACCAUUGCGGAUAUCCUUGGUAUUCCACCUGGAAUUUGCACUCAUAAAAUUCAGCUCCAAGAAAAGUGCACACCCACCAUCGAACACCAAAGACGUCUAAACCCACCAAUGCAAGAGGUGGUGAAGAAGGAGAUUAUCAAGUGGUUAGACGCAGGAGUUGUGUAUCCUAUUUCUGAUAGUACAUGGGUAAGCCCAGUACAAUGUGUUCCCAAGAAAGGAGGUAUGACGGUGGUUGCGAAUGCAAAGAAUGAGCUUAUUCCACUCAGGCCCGUCACUGGAUGGAGAGUAUGCAUGGACUACCGCAAGCUGAAUUCUUGGACUCUCAAGGAUCACUUCCCCAUGCCAUUUAUGGACCAAAUGCUAGAUCGAUUAGCGGGAAAAGGAUGGUUUUGCUUUCUUGAUGGUUAUUCAGGUUAUAAUCAGAUUUUUAUUGCACCAGAAGACCAAGAGAAGACAACGUUUACAUGCCCAUAUGGUACGUUUGCCUUCAAACGUAUGCCAUUCGGGUUAUGUAAUGCACCAGCCACCUUUCAGCGAUGUAUGAUGUCUAUUUUCUCUGAUAUGGUAGAAGACACUUUGGAGGUAUUUAUGGACGACUUUUCAGUUGUUGGGGAGUCUUUCGAAGCAUGUUUGGUGAAUUUAAGCAUGGCAUUACAAAGAUGUGUAGAGUUCAACCUUGUGCUGAAUUGGGAGAAGUGCCACUUCAUGGUAAAAGAAGGAAUUGUUCUUGGGCACAAGAUCUCCGAAAAAGGAAUAGAGGUUGAUCGCGCCAAAAUAGAGGUAAUUGAGAAGCUACCACCUCCAAUUUCGGUGAAGGGAGUUCGUAGUUUUCUUGGCCAUGCUGGGUUUUAUCGUAGAUUCAUCAAAGACUUCUCCAAAAUUUCUAGUCCAUUAUGCAAGCUAUUGGAGAAAGAUGCGAAGUUUGACUUUAAUGAUGAUUGCUUAAAGGCAUUUGAAUGCCUUAAAGAAAAACUCGUUGAAGCCCCUAUCAUGGUAACACCAGAUUGGACGCUCCCGUUCGAAGUCAUGUGUGAUGCUAGUGGUGUAGCCGUUGGUGCUGUUCUUGGACAGAGAAAGGAGAAAUUAUUUCAUCCUAUCUACUAUGCGAGUAAGGUCCUCAAUGAAGCCCAAAGGAACUACACCGUCACUGAACAAGAGCUAUUAGCGGUUGUGUAUGCGUUUGAGAAGUUCCGCGCCUACCUAUUAGGUACUAAAGUGAUCGUUCAUACAGACCAUGCAGCUCUUAGGUAUCUAAUGACAAAGAAGGAUGCAAAACCAAGGCUGAUUCGAUGGGUGUUGCUGCUGCAAGAGUUUGAUUUCGAAGUCAAAGAUAGAAGAGGUUGCGAGAACCAAGUGGCUGAUCACCUAUCUAGACUUGAGAAUGAGUAUGUGGCGCAAUCAGAAAAUCAGAUUGGCGAUGCAUUCCCUGACGAGGAGAUAUUAGCGACAACAAUAGAAGACUUACCAUGGUAUGCCGACUUUGCGAAUUUCGUGGUGAGUAAUGUGUUACCUACAAAUUUAUCUUACCACCAGAGGAGGAAGUUUAUGCAUGACGUUCAGCACUAUUAUUGGGAUGAGCCUUAUUUGUUUCGAAGAUGUGCGGAUGGUAUCAUUCGACGAUGUAUAUCCCAUGACGAAGUGCCCACUAUAUUAGAAGCAUGCCACACUUCGCAAGUUGGAGGACAUCAUGCGGGUAAUCGAACAGCAAGAAAAGUCUUGCAAAGUGGUUAUUAUUGGCCUACAAUAUUCAGAGAUGCACACGACUAUGUGAGAAGGUGUGACCAAUGCCAACGUCAAGGUGUUAUUUCAAAACACCAUGAAAUGCCCAUGUCCACAAUCCUGGAGGUAGAACUCUUUGAUGUAUGGGGUAUUGAUUUCAUGGGACCAUUCGUAAAUUCGUUUGGAAUGAAGUACAUCUUGGUUGCUGUGGAUUAUGUGUCGAAAUGGGUUGAAGCUGUAGCAUUGGCCGAUAAUGAAGGAAAGCGUGUUGUAGCGUUUUUAAAGAAGAAUAUCUUCUCUCGCUUUGGGGUACCUCGUACUAUCAUAAGUGAUGGAGGAUCUCACUUCUGCAACAAGCUAUUCAAAUCUGUAUUGGCCAAGUAUGGAGUCAAGCAACACAAGGUAGCUACGCCUUAUCAUCCCCAAACUAGUGGACAAGUAGAGGUUUCCAAUCGGGAGAUCAAGCAAAUCCUUGCCAAGACGGUCAAUGCGAAUCGGAAGGAUUGGUCUCGGAAGCUAGAUGAUGCACUAUGGGCGUAUAGGACUGCAUUCAAGACACCCAUUGGCAUGUCACCUUAUCAGCUAGUUUAUGGGAAGGCUUGUCAUCUACCCAUCGAGCUUGAAUACAAGGCAUUAUGGGCAUUGAAGCACUUGAAUCUGAAUUGGGAUGAUGUGAAGAACCUGAGGUUGGAGCAGCUGAACGAGCUAGAUGAAUUCCGUCUCCAUGCUUAUGAAAGAUCAGAUUUAUACAAGGAGCGGAUGAAGAAGUAUCACGAUCAGCGGAUUGUUCGACGACACUUCCAAAAAGGUGACAUGGUGCUACUCUUUAACUCCAGAUUCAAGCUCUUCCCAGGUAAGUUAAAAUCAAAGUGGUCUGGUCCAUUUAAAGUCACCCACGUCUACUCGUUUGGAGUAGUCGAAUUGGAAAAUAAUGAGGGUGUUAUCUUCAAGGUGAAUGGCCAACGUGUUAAGCCAUAUAUCGGUCCUCUUGACUCGAUAAAUGACAUGGCCAUCACUUAUCUCGACGAAGUCUAAGUACUCGAGAUUACUACGUCGAGCCACGACAAUAAAUAAGGCGCUAGAUGGGAGGCAACCCUUCGUUUUAUUGUUUUAUCGUUUUGUCGUUUUAGUAUUUUUUCUUUUUGAUAAAUGAAAAUCCAAAAAUAAGAGUCGUGCCACGACCAAAACUAAGGCGCUUGGUGGGAGGCAACCCAUCGUACUAAUCGUUUUCAUUUGUUUGAGCAAAUAUAGGUGUAAGAAGUAUGCAACGAGGAGAUUGAUUUCAAUUGACGAUUUGGUCGCGUUGUAUGGUAAAGGCGGUACAAUGGCACCGAAAGCAAGGCAAGGCAAGGAGAAGGCUACCACAACCCGCAAGGACAAAAAGAGAAGCCGAAAAGACCAAGGCGAAUCAUCUUCCGCACACCUACCACGCAGAAUGUUCGGAAUCAAAUGGGUUCUUGAGGAAGAAGCCAAGGCAUGGUACAGCAGCAACAAAGAAAAGAAAUAUGUGCACGUCGACUUAAUCAAUAAGGAGACCUUAGCAAAGAAGGAGCCGCAAAUGUUGGCUAAGAUUAUGGCUUUGAAGCUGGAUUUCAUCUUCCGUGACAUGGGAGAGUGCAAUCUUGACUUGACAAGAGAGUUUUAUGCCAACUGGUCGCCAAACACAACAGGCAACGAAGUCAAAAUUCGGGGCCAAGUGUUACAGCUUACAGCGGAUUGGAUCAACUCGUUUCUAGGCCUACCUUCGGUCGACACUGCACCAUACAAAGAGCUGUACAGCAGACCUCCUUACAGAGCUAUAAGACACACGCUUUGUGGAAGCAGAUCGAUGGCGAGAUGGGGCAGACAUAAGGAAACAGGCCGUCACAACACAUUCCCCUAUGCUCCACUAAAUAGGGAAGCAAGAAUCUGGAUGCGCAUUGUCAACUCAUGCCUCAUUCCUGGGACGCAAUACACAAAGAUAUCGAGAGAUAGAGUGUGCCUGGUUUAUUCAUUAAUGACGAAUGUCCCUAUCAACUUUGGGGCAAUCAUUCGAUCCACCAUGAGGAAAGCCAGACUGAUGUGAAUGUGAAUGGUCCUAUUUCACAUUCGGCAAUUUGUUGACAGCAAUGUUGCGGAAGGAGGAUAUAGAGGAGGAACCAGCUGACCACAAACUCCCACAUACCCCAAAGAAGGUUGACCUCACCAAGGUCAAAGAUGCUGAAACAACGCAUGGAGUCAACCUUACCACUGCGGAGAGACAUGCUCGUGACGAGAGUUUCUUCCGUCAUCUCUAUGGCAUGACGAGAUUCACUAUGAUGAGUGGUGGACGUAUUCCAACUGCUGAAGAGCUCCAACAGCUGGACCACGACUACCCAAUGAACAGACAUGCCCGGGAGAUGUGUGGAGUGGGAGUAUAUUUCGAGGAACCUCUUGAUGAUGACGUGCCAACUGAUGAUGAUAGACGCUUGCCUGAUUCUGAUGCUGAGGAGAACUCUGACGAUGACUCUUACGAUGACUCGAACGAAGGGGGUAUGACAUUGAGGAAGAGUCCGACUAAUCAGGUUCUUCGACUUUAUUUUCCACUGAGGGCAGUGUCUAGUCUAAGUGUGGGGUGUCGGCAGAAUCUGCAUGCUAUAUUUGUAUGUUUGCUUGUUUAUUUUGUUUUAUUUAUUUUGUUUUGAGUCCGAUUUUUUUUUGUGAUUUUUUUCGUGUGACGUUUUUUUUUUAGUUUUUAGUAGUUAAAAUUUUUCUAGCCUCGCAUGAAAUUAUUUUAAUAGGCAGCAUGAGAUUAUAACAAUAGUAUGUAUUACAAUUGUGACUAUUGAGACAUUUAGGCUCUAGUUGUGACUCAUUAUGUGAUAGUGUGUGAUUCAAUUCCUUCACUUGUUGGGUUGAGAGUCUAUAUUGCUACCAAUCAAGUCGACCAUGUGCCUUGUGUGUGUGAGAUAAUAGUAUAUUCUAUGUAUGUGGCUGAUGCUAGAACUUGCCUGGUAUGUAUGCAAAGCGAAAAUAAGGAGUGUAAGUUUAGGAUAUGAUUUAGGCAUUUCUUUGGCAACCUAUAUUUGUUUACCUUCAGUUUUACCUACCCAUGGACAUCAUCCUAGUUAAACCCUUUUGAGCCUUUAGCCUAUUUCUUUGACAACCUUGUAUGUAAGCCUAAUUCAUUUUUUUUUCAAGACCGUAAUUUGAUCCAAAUUCCUAAGUGCUUUAAAGUGAAAAAGUCAUGUGACAACAUAAGAGGAAAUUGGUUGAGUAUGAUGCUUUAAAUUGUAAUGGUGCUUGAAUAUGUUAUGAAAAAGAAAGUGCUAUCAUAAGAGGUAUGUUGUGAGAAGAAAAAGGAAAAGAAAGCUGAAAAGUGAGUUGUGCUUUAAAAUUGAAAAACAAAAGAGGAGAACAAGGGUGCUACAAAAAAGUGUCAAUAAUACAAUGUGAUGUAUUAAAGUGCUUAGGAACUUAGUCACUAUUUCUGGCCAAAAUAGUUGAUCCUACCCGUCCCUUAGCCUACAUUACAACCAUCAAAAGACCUACUUGAUCCUAACCUUAACAUUCCGACAUUUAGUGGAGUACUACAUUAAGGGCAAGCCUAUGGUCAUUAGCUGCUACAUAUGAAUUCUUUGUGAGAGUGAGCGCAAGGAUACUUUGCUGCCCAUGUUUGAAAAAUAUGCUAUACUUGUGAGUGAUUAUGGGUACUAUAUUGUGAGACACACAUGGUUGAUGAGUUUUGGAUAGUUGUAUAUGAUUCUAUGUACCUUAAACGUUUGCAUGCGAGUUGAUCACCAUCACGAGUCUAUGCUUGAGGUUAAAUUGUUUCUACUUAUAAUCGGAAAGCUACUCUUCGUUGAUAAUUGUUGUGCUUGUCUUGAAGAAUGUUUUGUGUUGUUUCUGUAAAAACCUUAAGUCAAUGCUUAGAAGGACAUGAUAUGUUGUUCGAGGACGAACAAAGCUCUAAGUGUGGGGUGUUGAUGAUAGGCGAAAUUACGCGCCUAUAUCAAUAUAUUUUGCCCAUAUUUUAGCCUAGUUUCGAGAACUAAUUAUCUAUUUCGUACACUUUUAGUCCUUUUUCCUGUAAAUGAGCUAACAAAUGUGAUUAGGAAAGUUUCAGGUAUAAAUGAUGCAAAAUACAGCAAUUUAUGGCUUACUUGACGCAAAAGAAAGCUCACAAACGAGAUGGAAAGGAGCUGGACGCAUAAAGGACUAAAUCUGCUGCAUGGAAAAUCUGUCCCGGGCUAAAACAGCAUUUCUGAAGACUUUGGGACUUACAGACACAAAGCUGGAUUUUUGCCAUAAUACAUUAACCUAGUGCAAUUAGGUUAUGUGUUUCAUCAUUCUAUUUGGAUUAUAAUUUUGUAACCUUACCCUAGUACAAUUGGGUCAAGGAUUUCAUUAGUAUAUUAGGAUUUGGUUAUUUAUUUUAUUAGUUUAGUAGGAGUAGGAUAGGAGUAUUAUAAAUACCCUAUCAUGUUAGAGAUUUUCAAGAAGGGAGACAUUCUGACAAUUCAUUCAUCUCCUUACAAUUAAGACAUCUUCCUACAACCCAUUCUCAAUUCUUCAUUCUUCUACUCUUAAAUUCCACAACAAGAGAAUUGUUACUUGCUACGGAAUCACUAAAACCACACGCCAAACACCUACUAUUCACGCCAUCCACCAUGCAAAACGUGAUAUCCUUCGCAUUCAUGGGUAACUAAAUCUCUUAGUUGGGGUUAUGGAAGCCGAAUGAGUUACUAUCUAUAGCUAUGAGUUUGUGAGUUCAAGACAAGUAUAUUGCUUAUAUCAUUAUUCUCUUCAUCUUAAAUCUACAUUCUUUGCGGUUCAAACACAAGAACACGCCAUUCUAACAUCUAACCUGUUCGAGAGAAAGGUUAUUUGUCUAGAAAAGAAGACGCAUAGACCAACGCCAGUCUAACAUCUGACUUGUUCGAGAGAAAAGUUAUUUGUCUGGAAAAGAGAUAAUGUCAAGGUAGUAGGACACCCUUUCCUAUUAAAAAGCUAGUGCCGUACCUGGACUAACUUCUUGGAGAAUUCGUACCGUUAGUCACGCUUUAAGCUCGAGAGAGUUAAAGUGAAAUAGUCCUUGUUUAGGUCGAGAGACGCUUGGAUUUACCAUCGACUACAAUUCUCUAUAAGCAAUUACAUGUCAAGACUCUACACACUCAUAGCCAAUAGAGACGUAUACCUCAGAAGGUGGACAUAACCCCAACGCCUCAAUUCUCAUUGUUUACAACACACGUGACAAUCUCUCUUUAUUUUGCUAUUUUCAGUUCUUACAUUCUUGUUUUGGUUACAUACUACAAUCCCCCCUUUCCUACGAGACUUGCACUAAAAGUCUAGUAAUUUCUCUUGCUUGUUGGCCAAGCUAUUCUCUGUGGGAUCGAUACCCAACCCAGGUUGGGUUCUAUAUUUGCUAACGACCGCUUUACACUCCCACGAGAGCUGUAGAUUGAGCGUUAUCACUAACCAUUUACUAAUAUUUGUACCUGUACACUGCACAAUGUCUAAAAUAAAUGUAGAAACUAGCCAUAAGGUUCAACACAUCCAUGAAUACUCAUAAUAUAGAAAACUGAAUACUAAUACAUCCGUCUGAAAAGCCUCUAAACUAUCUAAACUGUGGAGUUGAUGGGACAUGUCCCCAACUAACUCCGUCAACUGAAAAUAAAUAAAGUAUUAAGCAAUAAUAGUACACUAAAAUUCAUCCUCGAAGGAAGAGGACUCACUACUACUGCUGCUGACUGGGACUGAACUGCUGAGGAAAAACUGGAUCAUGUGCCUCUGAACCUAUGGUGUCAAAUAAAACACCAUAGCGCAAAUGUGUAAGUACAAAAAUGUACCGAGUAUGUAGAUGGGGUAGGCUAAUACAAGGGCUCAUGUAUGCACAAUAUCUAAACAUAAUAAUCAUAAAGAUGCCGCAUGAGAACGCAUACAUGAAUGCAUAGAACAGAACACAAUUAUCGCAACUCUAGAUACUGAAACUCGCAUACCAUUUUACUGCAGACUGAACUCACUAAUGACACUAAGAUACUGAAUUAUUGACUCAUAUGAUACUAAUAACUGAGGAUCUAGAUGUGCUUACAUCAAGGACUGAACUCUAAGCUUACUGCUUUUGACUGACAGAAUUAGAGAUCAACUUUGCUACAGAUUAUUCUGGAAGCGAUUAUCAAUGAUAAGAAGUAUGACUAUAUCUGAAUCUGAUGAUAAGAAUAUUCAAAAGGAAUCUGAUAUUGUGAUCAAGCUUGUCUGGCGGUAUAUAUCUUAAUAUCAUAUCAAUCAAUUGUGUAUAUGACCAAACCUAUCUGCCGGGAUGGUCCAUGAAUCAAUGAAACUAUCUGAGUUCCUCAUAAAGAUAGAUGACUGUAUCUUACAGUCUUGAUUUUUGAAGACUGAUUCUGAAACUAAGACUGAAUCUGAAACUAAAACUAUAGGAAGUAGUCACUUAAUCGGCAUGCCUUGACCUACCACAGGUGGGGUCCAACCUGUGCCCCAGUUGGAAGGGUGUCAUUACCGCGCCACUGGUAAAAACAACUCUAUGUGACCCUCAUCUAGCUGGUCCUCAAACGAUAAUGGUGGAGCCUUCAUCUAGCAGGUCAAGCCACCUCAUCUACCCUUAUCUAGCAGGUAUGAUAUCUCUCAUCUACCCUCAACUAGUAGGUGUGAUGUCUCAACCUACAUUGUCUAAGUAGUUCUGGAGCACAAGGAUUACUUCUAAGAAUCAUACCCUCUACUAGUAGGUGAGAUCCCAUCCUUGAGCUCACUCGGUGCUAGUUUCUAGUCCCAAUUGAAAGACUCAGAACUGAAUUCUCAACUUAACACUGGCUGAACUAAAUCUGACACUGAUCAUAUUACUCAAAAGGUCUGACUAAGUUAUGCUGAGAUCACUUGUUUUUGUAUCUGACAGAAAAGAUAUCGAAUCAUGGUAUUUGACUGACGAUACAGAGCUUGAAUGGAUUACUCGAAUCGCUUCAGAGAUUAGGAUUGAAUCACUUGAAUACUAUUAAAACUAAGCUAAUUACAGGUCUGAGACUAGGUUACUAGCAAUAUAGAGAUUACAGAGAUAACUGAGAUUACCGAGCUUUAUUAAGCUUCGCACUUGUCUGAGGAAAUAGAGUUUUAUAGUUCACUGAGUUCUGAGAAUCAUGGCUCAAUUGGAAUUAUUGAGAAACUGACAUGGGCUCUAGAAAAUAGCUCUAUUUUUGGGUAUAAAUACCCCCAGGACUCGAUAACAUAAAAGUAAGACAUAAUCAUUCUUCAUCAUAAAUCAUUCAUGCAUCAUCACGGUCAUCCAUUCAUCACUACUAUCAUUCAUUCAUCAUUACAAUCAUUCAUGUAUUAUCACAAUCAUUAAAGAAUCAUUUCAAGUAGUUGGGCAUCACAACAUACUUUUCCUUUCAAGAUCCUUAGGACAUCGAAUUAAGCAUUUAGGAAACAUAGACCUCUAUUCAUCAUUAUAUACUAGCCUAGGGAAGACAUGCUAUUAGAUUAUACCCCAUUCAACGAGAUCUUAUAUCAAGUACUUCAUACCUAUAUCGGUCUUGUCAUGUAUUUGGAUAUCACUUGAUUUGGGGGAAACUUCAUACUAACACGUCAAGUAUUAAAAGCUUAGCAUAUAUCAAAGAGCACAAAUUCAGGGAAUUUACAACCAUCAUAUCUCGACUUGUUUCUUUGUUCCCUAGGGUCUUUCAACAACCACUAGACACGACUGAUUUUACACCUACUUGGGGAUUUCAUGCUAUCUUGGCACAUUUCACUCACUAAGGCAUUUUAUCAAGCACUAGGCAUGCAUGGACUAGCUCACAAUUUGGAGUUUCAAGAGGGUCUAUCACAAACAUCACAUGAAUUCCACAUACUAGGGUCAAAGGUCAUAAAUUUUGUAGGCAAACAUAAAUCAAAACUCAACAACACAUUAAACAUCCAUUUCAACUCAUACAAAUCAUUAACAACUCAUAAGCAUAAAAAUCUUUUAGAUUUAAAAAGAGUUCUUGAGCUUCUUGGAUGAAAGGAACCCAAGAAACAACAUCUACAUACCUUAACCUUUGAAAUUGGAUGAACUUUAGUGCUUAAAACUUUAUCCACACUUGAAAUAAAUAAAUUCUUGAAUCCCACACUAUGAGGAACUUGAUUCUUGAAGAAACCACCCAGUUCUUAAUAUAAAACGAGUUAUGGUCGAUUGAAUUUGAUCUAAAUUUUGACGGUCACUAAAACUUGAACGGUAGGAAAUUUUUCUACUCUUUCAUGAGUUAGGGGACCUCUAUGAUCUCAAUUCAUGCUCAAAUAAAUUCCCACACAAUUUCAAAGUAUUUAAUACUUGGAAGGAUAUUUCUUAAUCAUUUUGACUCAGAUUUUCACUUUACCAAAUACGCUCUAAGGCUCAGACUGGAAGAGGAUUUUGCGGAGCAUUACAGAUUUUUAUCUUGAAAACACAUUGGAUGGAUUCCAUUUUUGAGAUACCAUUCUUUAUUACUUGUUUGUAUUUGAUGACUCCUUACUCAUAAGUGGUAUCAUUCUUGUGAACCCUAGGGCAAAUGUGUCACUGGCUUUUUUUAGUGUUGCUUACAUACUUGCAUCCUUGUUUGACAUAUUUGUACUUCAUUUAUAUGGACCAAAACUUGUGGGUGAUAAGUUAAUUUACUUGCUUAUGUAAGAGUCCAUGAUUGUUGAAUACUAUUGGCCACCUUCAUUGGGUUGGACAAGUUGAAAUAUCAAAUGAGAUUCUGAGGAGCAUGCCUAAUACCAUAACUAGAGGGAACCCAACUUCUUGGUAGAGCCAAUUAUUUUGGAUUACUUUGGUUUCUAGUAAGUUCUCUAUCCCCAUUAGUAGAAUGAAGAGAGCUCAUAUGAUACAAGACAAAUUACUAAAAAGAUUCUAAGUCAAGGUAAUUAGAGAAGAUAUAGAUAUGAAGAGGAGUAUUGUGAUCCACCAUGAUGAGGAUAGGAAAAAAAGGAGUCUCUUUCUUUGAAUAUUUGGCCCUUUGGGUUAUUUUUGGGCUCAUUUGACAUUUAGGGUCACUUUUGGACCCAUUUUGUAAUAAAUAGCCCAUAGCUAUAAAUAGCUAGGGUUUUUUUCUUAAACUUAGAUAGUUUGGAUGAACUUUACUUGAGAGUGUUUCUAAACUUGUUGGGAGCUUGUGAUUGUCUAGAGACAUUGAUUGUGAGGGGUUUAAUUCCUCUCUCAGAUUUUGUAGGAGAUAGGUCUUUGUGGUAAUCGAAAGGGAGGACCUCAAAUUUAAUAUAUCUUUGGGUUGUCCUUUCUUUAUCAUUUUUUGCUGUCUAUCUAUCUAUAUAUAUAUAUAUUUCUCAAAGUUUAUCAUCUUUCGUUUAUUAUCAUUUGAUUUUCGUACUUAUGUUUUGUUUUUGUGUUUUUUGUCGUAACAUUAUACCAGAGCUUGUGAUUGUCUAGAAACAUUGGUUGUAAGGGAGUUCAGUUCCUCUCUCCAUAUUCAUAGGAGAUAGGUGUUUGUGGUAGUCAAAUGGGAGGUCCUCAGAUUUAAUAUAUCUUUGGAUUUUCCUUUCUUUAUCAUCUUGUGUGUAUCUUCUAUCUAUCAAUUUCUCCAUUUUUAUAAUCUUUUCUUUUAUUAUCAUUUGACUUUCAUACUUAUGUUUCAUUUUUUGUAUUUUCUUUCAUAUCAUUUGGUAUCAUAGCUGAGCUUGGAUUCAUUCGUACGAAUUCAAUCUUGAGUUUGUUAUUAAAUUAAAAUAAAAAAUUACAAAAAAGGAGUUUCCUAUUUUUGGUGGUUCUCCAAAUUUGAAGUUCCUAAUUUUUGUUUUUCCUUGAGAUUCUAGUGAUAGAAUCUUGUUCUCUAAUACUAUUUGAGUCCAAGUCUCCAAAUUUGAUCUUAAACUAAGUUGAUUUUAAGAUUCUAUCAUUGUUGAGUUUAAGCCUGAAGAAAAUAAAAAAUGAGUCCCUAAAUCUAGAAAUUUUGGAGUGAAAUUGAGGGUUGAUAAUCAUUGGGAUUUUUUACCCAUACCAAAAGGAUCUUGGAUUUCAAAUUUGGGGUGAAUCCGAGUUGAAAUGAGGAAGUUAUGAAUUUUGUAAGAUUACCUUCAUCUUGAUAUUCUUCCAAGAAUUCGUAUCAACAUGUGUUUGAUAUAAAAAAGGAAGAAAGAGAAAGUUUUUGGGUAUUAGUACAAAGGAAUAUCCCGAGAGAGAGAGUGCAAAAAGGGGCCAUAAAAGGACAAAUUUUGGAAGCUCAAGUUGUACUUCCACAGGGCAUCUGCGCCUACACUUGCUAACAUAAGUCCUUCACCUAUGAAUAGGUGACAUUCUAGCAUCGUGGAUUGACUUGCCAUGUGCCAUCUGCAAUGGCAGCCCAUCACCUAUGGCCACACCUCACCCAACGCAAGUUUAUCCUCAUGUUCUAACCUUCUAAUUUCAUUUUCUUGAUUCCUAAUCGCUUCCUUUGAUUCCUAAAACUAUUUUUCAACUAGUAAGAACCUUACUUAGUUUUUAAUUGGUUCUCGAGUCCGUCUCAUUUCAUUUUUGUACUUUUUCUUGUAUGCAUUUAUCAUUUAGUUCCUAGUUAACUUUGUUGAUUCAAGUUCUUUAGUUUUCAAUAGAGUCAUCCAUUCCUCUCUCAAAAAUAUUCCAUUCUCACUGAGAAUAGAAAAUUGAUGCCUCAUAUACCAAUGUGAACAAGCAAGAUCAACAAGUUGAACUAAUUAUGAGACAAUGACUGUGAAAACACUAGUGAUUGGGAGAUUUGAUUUCACUAAUGUUAACCUUUUUUGUUAGUUGUUUUGAGUAUAUUAUUGAUAGAUAACAUGACACUGGAAGAAAAGGUUCAACCUACCAUAAGUAGGGCAAAUCUUGAUACAAUUUUAGAAGGUAUCAUUGGAAUACGACGAGGUAUGGAUUCUAUAAAUGAAAGGAUGCUAAACAUUGAGGAGAGGGUAACAAAUAUGGAUGGAAGGGUUUUAAAUAUGGAGGGACAUCUAAAUUAUUCUAAUACUACUCCCCAAAACAACCUCCAAUCAAUUUCAAGCAGCAAUUCCCAAGAAACUUCUACAACCAUCUUUCCUGGAACUCUAUACCACAUGGUUUACCCUUCUUGACAAUGAAAUGGUCCCUUACUAUCUAUUACUAUCAAUCAAAAUCCACAACAUGUAUCCUAACGACUAUAAUUUAACCAACCACCCCACCAACAAACUCCCUAAAAUCCACCCCAAACUACACAAAUUCUCACUCCACCCUAUUAAACACCGCAAAAACAAGUUCCAAACUAUCAAAUGCCACAAGUAUUAAACCCACAAGGCCUCAACCAACAUUACUACCUACCCUAUAAAGCUCCAUAAUUCCAAUUACCAUGCUACUAAAUAACACAAAAUCCAAACCCACUUUACUAAGAUCCACUUAACCAAAUGCCACCUAACCAAGUUGUAGGAGUUUAAGAAGAGUUUGAGGGACAUAUAGAAUGAGUUUAUGGGUAUAGUGCUUAAGGAAAUGGUCCAAGGUGCCAUGAAAAAUAUAGAGGUCUUGACAUGGGCCUCAAAUCUAUCAAGGUUACUCUUUCUAGUUUUCACGGAGGUAGUGAUACUAAAGAAUACCUCGAAUGAGAGUCACAACAUGAUAGGAUCUUCCAAAAUAAUAAUUUUUCUGAUAUUAAGAAAACAACCUAUAUUGUUGUUCAAUUUGAAAGAUAUGUUUUGACUUGGCGGGGAUCAUCUAAGAGAAUGUAAGGGGUUCUUCAUAGAGGUCAUUAUCUACCAUGGUAAGUAAUAAAGGCCCAUAUGAGAGCUAAGUAUGUACUGGAGAGAUAUAGACAAGGGUUUCUUGCCAUAUUAUACAAUUUGAGACAAGAAUAAAAGAGUGUUAAAGAUUACUAUGAUGAAUUCUAAAACCUACACUUUAAGCUUGAUUACAACAAGGAUGAAGAGAACACCAAGAUAUGGUUUAAGUGGGGUUAAAUCAACAAAUUACUUCUAGAAUGUCAAUGCAUAAGUUUUCUCGUAUGUAUGAUUUCUUAUAAGUGGAUAUUGAUGUUGAGCAACAUAUCAAGCGUAGAAGAAGGAUAUCAAGCCUAAGCUAGGAAAUCAAGUGUCCCUAACUUGGAGUCAAGGCUCUGAGUUCAAAAAGUCUUUUGAGAAGAAUUCUCCAAGGUAUCCCCCUUGAGAAGGAGGUAAUCCAAAUCGUAAUGGUAACCAAAGAUUUAAAUGUCAUGGAUGGGGUAACUGAAUGCAUGACUGUCCAACUCAAAGAUCAAUUAUACUUUGUAAAGCUGAACCAUACUACAAAAAUAAAGUGGAGCAAAAGGAAAAACAUAUAGGAGUUAAAAAAAAAUUGAUGAUAAUGCGUUGUAAAGGAUCCAUAUGAUGGGCAUAUCACCGUCCCAAAAUAUGCUAGACAACAAAGUGAUAUUAAAGAGGUUUGGCCUCGAGAAGGAGAUAUUAGCAUUACAGUUUACUUGGUUAAGCAAGUUAUGUUCCCUUCCAAAUCCAAGGACUCCUCUAAAAAUUUUGAUCUUGAAAAUGAUUAAUUCUUGAAUUUGAGGACAAAUUCUCUUCAAGAAGGAGAGGAUGAUACAAAUCAAAUUACUCACUCAUGGUAAUUGGUGAAUCUUUAUAGAUUAAUAGGAGUAUUGUUAUCCACUAUGAUAAGGAUGGGAGAAGGAGGAGUCUCGUUCUUUGAAUAUUUGGCACUUUGGGUCACUUUUGGGUUCAUUUGACAUUGAGGAUCACUUUUGGGCCCAUUUUGUAAUGAAUAGCCCAUGAUUAUAAUUAACUAGGUUUCUUCUUUCUUAGACUUAGAUGAUUUUGGAUGAACUUACACUUGAGAGUAUUUAUAAGCUUUUUGGGAGCUUGUGAUUGUCUAGACACGUUAGUUGUGAGGUGUUUCAAUUUAUCUCUUAAUAUUCAUAGGAGAUAGGUGUUUGUGGUAAUGGAAAGAGAGGUCCUUGGAUUUAAUAUAUCUUAGGGUUGUCCUUUUUUUCUCAUCUAGUUUCUAUCUGUUGAUUGAUUUCUCAAUUCUUAUCAUCUUUCCAUUACUAUCGUUUAAUCUUUAUACUUGUGUUUCAUUUUUGUAUUUUCUUUCGUAUCAUUAUACCAGAGCUUGUGAUUAUCUAGAAACAUUGAUUGUGAUGGGUUUCAAUUCCUCUCUCAAUCAUUAUAGGAUAUUGGUGUUUGUGGUAAUCGAAAAGAAAGGUCCUCAGAUUUAAUAUAUCUUUAGGUUUUCCUUUCUUUAUCAUCAUGUGUCUUUCUAUCUAUCUAUCUAUCUAUUUAUCUAUUUCUCAAUUUUAUCAUCGUUUCUUUAUUAUCGUUUGAUUUUUGUAUUUGUGUUUAGUUUCUAUAUUCUCUCUCAUAGAAUUAUAUAAACUUAAAUGCAUUAUUUUUACCCAUUUGUGUGGGGGAUACCUUUUUUUUUAGGCCGGUGAUAGUUUGGGGGUAAUCCUAUCCUUGGAAAUAGCUAGUACGUUGAGUGAAGUUUUAAGUUGGGAUGGCCUUGUUUAUGACACUGUACUUAGCUAUGAGAAUUAUCAUAUGAUACUUAGACUUAAAAGGGAUUUUGUGCUUGUUGAAAUAUAGAACCAAUGUGAGAUUACUUGUGUUUUUACAUAAAUGCCAUAGUUCUCUUAGUUGGGCCCUUUGUCAAAGGUUUUUGUGUAACCAAGUGUCCAUAGUUUUAUUGAGUAUGUACUCUUUAUAUAUCAUGUUGAUACUAGGUUAUACCAUAAGAAUGAGCAAUAUAGGGUGUUGAUUACAUGUUAUGCUCACUAUAAAUUCUAUCAUUGGCCAUUUGUUGAUUACAUUAUUGUCAUGGCCCGAACUAGGGCCAGCUGUGAUGUGUAUCUCAAGAACAUCGAGGAUCGAAGACCACCCCUUUUGCCUAGUCAAACAAAACAUAAUAAGCUAGUAGUAUAUGAAUUUCAAACAUAUAACAAGAUAAGCUAAGUUUUGAAGAUAUAACAAGACAGGCAACUUAGAAAGGAAUUUAAGAACUUUAACAACAUCCUAAUCCACAAUAAUCCACAAAGCCUUUAAACAGACCAAAACCAAACUAACUCGGUACAUUCCCACGACGAUAGACAAAAGAAUCCAAUAGAAGUAGUCUAAGAAAUAAAUGAAACAAUACUUUAAAAUGAUAGCCUUCUGAAGAAUGGAAGCUCACCAUUUCAAAGAUAACUGCUAACAACCCAAAAAUUCCAUCACCGUAUAGGAAAAAUAGAAGUGUUUUUGAUUCAUGUAUCGCGUGAGGAUAUAGGGUCUAGAGACAGUUAGCGAUGUGAGUGCUAGCAUAUAACUCAAGGAAGGGAUAAAUUAAUGCUAAGUCAAUAACCAUAGUAAAAUCCACAUGCACACAUUGUUCAUAUAUAUACAUAUACAUAUAUACAUACAUAUAUAUAUGUAUGUAUAACAAGCUAGGGUAGGGAACAAGAUUUUGCAUAAACGUAUAAUAUUAGACUGGACUAUGUAUCUCUAUCAUCAUAAUAGUUCCCACGGAUUUAUAAGCCCCAGUUCUCACCCCCUGGUCUUGUCACAGUUUGUGUAACCGCACAAACUAGAGAAUUAUCAUGUGUAUAUAUGAACCACUAGGACUCAAACAUCAGGUCAUAUAAUAAGGUGACAUAAACACUCGGUCAUAAAACAUAAGCCAUUUAGACCCCCGCAUCAGCAAACAUAGUUUCUAGUGUUGGUCCGUUAGGACCUCCACAUUCAUGGCUUAGCUACACAACCUUAAUUAAUCCCAAUUAAAAUAUUUAGCACAUAACCCAUUUAUUUAAUCAAGGAGUCAUUCAUUAAGGAAAUAUCAAGUGGUAUCGUCAUACCAACUAUAGCUUGCAAGUGAAUGUCAUCAUGCAAAAUCAAAUAGCCAAUGGAACUCUAAACCACUAACCAAUAGGACUCCAGCCUAUUAUGCCAACUAGGACUUUAACCCAUCAGCCAAUAGGUUCAAAAUAUUUAGCCAUUUGGGACUCAAACCUGUUUAGCCAUUUGGACUCCCAAGUUCUAUUUCAAAAUCAAUCUAUGGACAUAAAGGCCUUUUAAACUGUUCAUGUUUCAUUAGCCUUUUUAUCCAAUUGCAAUAAUUCAAUAGUAGUUCAAUGUGCAUAUUGUAAUACCCAAGAGUACACCCUAGACAUCAGAUGGUGCUUAUAGUCCCGAGGGACCAUAAGCUAACCUAUGAGCUAGUACCUAUUAUAAGCACUAAAUAAUAUAGUCAUAAUGCAGAAGAAUAACUGAUAUGCCAUAAGAUUUUAAAAACUGAAUUAUAAAUAUGAGGAACAUAGUUAUCUGAGUCUUAUAAAAACACUGGAAUCUGAAUAAACUGAAUAACUAACUGCAGUGUCAACUGAAGUCUGAAUACUGAAUAACUGACUCUAAUAUUUGAGAGCCUCUAAACUGAAUGACUGGGAGUUGAUGGGAUAGGCCCCAACUAACUCCAACUAACUACUAGACUGAAAAUAUGAAAUAGAAUACUCUGUUCCCAAAAUAUAAGGACUUACCACUACUACUGUUGAGAUGUCUAAAAUGUCUAAGCGCGGUCCGUGAACUGGGCAUCGAAACUUAUGAUAUAAUACAUCAUAGCAUAAGAAAAGGUAUGCGAAUAGUACUUUGAAUGUACUGGUAUGCUAAAUGAGGUAGGCUGUUAUGCAUGGUUUCAUGAACAGGAAUAAUAAAUUAUCUGAAUAUACAUGUACAGCAUGAAGUACUGAAUAGGGAGCGGUAAAUCUGUAGAUACUGGAAAUAUGUGAAAUCUAUAAAUAUUGUGUAUGCAUAAAAGUCUGUAAAUACUGAAGGUACGUGAAAACCUGUAGAUACUAAGGAUGCAUGACCAAGCAUAUAACAUGAACUAAAUAAAAUUUAGCAACAAAAAUACUGAAAUAAUUGAUAUCUGAAUGCCAUGGUCAAACAACACUAAGACUGAACUACUGGUUUAAUUAUUGGACUGAGACUGUGGGAGGUAUCAUCUAAAUGACAAGCCCCAAUCUGAGCUGAUCGGGGUCUAACCUAUAACCCCAGCUGGAAGAGUUUUAAUACCAUGCCAUGGGUACUAACACUGGCCAUGUAGAUCCACUAUACUGAUAUACUAUCCGAAAGACUAAGGGUAUCAAGCCUUAACUGACGAGUGACCCCUGCGAGAUAGUCAAACCUAAUCUGACGGGUGACUCCUCAUAUCCUAUCCUGACUAUGUAGUUCUGGAGUAUAGGGACUACUACUAAUGACUCUUCCUACCUGACGGGGAAUCCGCCAUCCCUAAACUCGCUCGGUGAUAAAUCCUACUCCCAGCUGAAAGACACUGAAAUACUAGACUGUUCUGAAUUUAACUAAUUGAUAUCUCACUAUCCUAAUAAUGCUCAUAGUAUGUUUUGAAGACUAUUCUAUAAUGUAUUGAGACUAGUCUAAGUAAAUAGCUAUGGUUUUCUGGUAUUCAAUACCCCCAGGACUCAAAAACAAUAAUAGUAAAAUGACUCUAAAGUUUGGAGGACAAAGCAUGAAGGUUUUUAUUAAAUCAAUCACUCUUAUAGGCAUGUUAUCAAAUAUUUGGAGUUCAUGGUUUGAUCAAAUCAUAGGAAUGUCAUGGAACUUGUAGUAAAAGCAUGAAUUCAAUAUGAAUACUACUAAAUCAUGAUUUAAUUCAAGGAAUGAUAACACUAAAACAUGGAGAAUUGAAUAACAAUAAUAAUUUCAUUGAAACAUAGUAUAAAAUCAUAGUUCAUAGAGAUUCAUGGAUGAAAUCACAAUUUAAAAUCAAAUAACUUGAAAAGAUCACAAUUUUGUAAUUUAAAUAGGAUACUUGGACUCAAUGGGUGAAAGGAACCCAUGGAUGAACACCUAACAUACCUGAGUUAAUGAAUUUGGAAGGAUUGAUGGUGAGUUCUUGAGAUUUGGCCUUGAAUUUGAGAGCUAGGGUUUCUUACCCGGUUAUUGGAUUUGGAUUAAUUUUAUAUCAUUGGAAAGCUAAUUGAAUUUUCUACGCAAAGGCAGGCUCUAAACUAAAAUUUAAUGAGUAUUUUGAAAAUCUUAUAUAUGAAUACUCAUGUAUUGGGACUUAGAUUAUGAUAGGGAAAUAUGAGGUAUUACAAUAUCUCCCCCUUGGGAUCAUUCUCCCUCGAAUGAGACUGGUUAAGUUGAGAAAAACUGAUGGACUGAGAUUACACACUGAACAUGCAUAUCUGAUGGAUGGAAUCCAUGACUGAACUGAUUUAUACAUGCACGACUGACAUAAACAUGAUGUGCAACUGAAACUAAGCAUGAUAAAGAUAAAUCUUAAGGAGAUUAGUACCUGAAAUCGAAUCUAAAUUUGUGGAGAAAAGAUGAGGGUACUUGGUUCGCAUAUCUGCUUCUGCUUCCCAAGUGUCUCCCUCAAUGGACUGAUUCCAACAAAGAACUUUUACUAGUGGAACCUCUUUGUUCCUUAGUCUACGAACUUGAUGAUCAAGAAUUUUGACUGGAACUUCCUCAUAGGACAGACUGUUCUGAACAUCUAUACUUUCUAAGGGAACAACUACAGGUGGAUCACCAAUACACUUCUUUAACAAUGAGAUAUGGAACACUGGGUAUACUAAAGCUAGAUCUAAAGUCAACUCAAGCUCAUAAGCUACCUUUUUAAAAUGACUAAGAAUUUUGAAGGGACCUAUAUAUCGGGGACUGAGUUUACCUUUCUUGUCAAAUCUAUUCACUUCCUUCAUAGGAGAUAUUUUCAAGUACACCAAAUCAUUGACCUCAAACUUGAGAUCCUUUCUUCUCAACACCUGCAUAUGAUUUCUGUCAGAUUUGGGUUAUUCUAAGCCUCUCUCUGAUCAACUGAACCUUCUCUAAAAUAUCAAACACCAAGUCAGGCCCUGCUACUGUAACCUCACCCACUUCAAACCAACCAAUUGGAUAUCUAUAUCUCCUGCUAUAGAGAGAUUCAAAUGGAGCCAUUUGGAUAUCAGAAUAAUAGCGUUAUUAUAUGCAAAUUCAAUCAAAGGCAAGUGUACCCUUGAAAUCAACAACACAUGAUAUCAGCAUAUCCUCAAGAGUCUGAAUGGUCUUUUCUGCUUGACCAUCUGUCUAAGGAUGAAAAGUGUACUGAGGUGGACUUGGGUACCAAGACCCUUUUGGAAUGCCUUCCAGAAGUGAGAGGUGAAUUGGGUACCUCUAUCUAAGAUGAUAGAUAAGGGAAUACCGUGCAACCUAACCAACUCUCUAAGAUAGAGUUUGGCAUAGUCCUCAGCUGCAUAAGAGGUAUGGACUGGUAAGAAAUGAGCUGAUUUGGUCAUCUGAUCUACUAUAACCCAAAUAUAAUCGUGCUGAUAAUGGGUAUGAGGCAAACCUAUCACAAAAUCCAUGUUCACUUCUUCCCAUUUCCAUGUCGGAAUAUUGAACUCCUCCAUGGACCCACUAUGCUUCUGGUGCUCAAUCAUAACUUGCUGACAUGUAGAGUAUUUAGCUACAAACUCUACAAUAUCCCUCUACAUCCCACUCUACCAAUAAAUCAACUGCAAAUCAUCGUACAUCUUAGUGGCCCCUGGAUGAAUAGAGUAAUGCAUAUCAUGCGCUUUUGCAAGAAUUCGUUGCCUCAAAUCUUCUACAUCAGGCACAUACAAUCUACCUUGACAAUGCAAAACACCAUCUCCCCCUUGGGAGAAAACCUCCACUUUCUAAUCUCUGACUAAUUCUUUCAACUUAACUUGGUUGGGAUCUCUAUCUUGCUUUUCCUUUACCUCAAAAAUUAGAGAUGAUUCUGAGCUACUCUGGACCCAUACACUACCUUCUGUUGAAUCAACUAAGUAGAUACCUAGUCGGGCAAGCUGAUGAACUUCCUAUCUAAAUUCUUCUUACCAUCCUCAACAUGAGCAAUACUACCCAUAGACAUUCUACUGAGAGCAUCAGCCACUACAUUGGCCUUGUCUGGAUGAUACAAAGCACUCAUGCCAUAAUCUUUCAACAACUCUAACCACGUUCUCUGAUGUAGAUUCAAAUAUUUCUAAGAGAACACGUACCGCAUGCUCUUAUGGUUAGUGAACACAUCUAUGUUCACCCCAUACAAGUAAUGCCUCCAAAUCUGUAAGGCAAACACUACAGCUGCUAGCUCCAGAUUAUGAGUAGGGUAAUUCUUCUCAUAGGGAUUAAGUUGUCUGGAGACAUAGGCUAUGACCUUACCUCUCUACAUAAGGACACAACCCAAACCUAUCCUAGAUUCAUCAUAGUACACAACAAAGCCAUCUAAACUAUCUGGUAGAUUCAAAACUGUGGCUGAGGUGAUUCGAGUCUUCAACUCCUGAAAACUCUCCUCAUAGGAAUCUGACCACUGAAACUUAACUUUCUUCUGCAUCAAUCUAAACAUGGGGGAUGAAAUAGAAGAAAAUCCUUCAACAAACCAAUGGUAAUAGCCAUCCAAACCCAAGAAAAUCCUGAUGUCUGAUGGAGAAAUAGGUCUGGGCCAGUUUCUCACUACCUUGGUCUUCUGAUGAUCAACCCUAAUGCCAUCACCAAAAAUAAUAUGGCUGAGAAAAGCUACUGAUCUUAGCCAGAAUUCACACAUACUAAAUUUAACGAACAACUAAUGGGCUCUAAAAGUCUACAACACUAUUCUGAGAUAGUCUGCCUAAUCACAUUCGCUAUGGGAGUAAACAAGGAUGUCAUCAUUGAAGCCUAUGACGAACAUGUCCAACUAAUGCUUGAACACUCAGUUCAUCAAGUCCAUGAAGGUUGCUGGGUAAUUUGUAAGACCAAAGGACAUGACUAGAAAUUCAAAGUGACCAUACCGAGUUCGGAAAGCUAUUUUUGGAAUAUCACAAUCUGACUCUGAGCUGAUGAUAGCCUGAUCUGAGGUCUAUCUUAAAAAGUAGUUGGGUCCUUGAAGUUGGUCAAACAAAUCAUCGAUUCUUGGAAAUGGAUAUCUAUUCUAGAGUAUGACUUUGUUCAACAGAUGGUAAUCUACGCAUAUUUUAAGAGAACCAUCUUUCUUACACACGAAUAGAAUAGGUGCACCCCACGAAUAGACAUUGGGUCUGAUGAAUCCCUUAUAUAGGAGAUCUUUUAACUAUUAUUUUAACUCCUUGAGUUUUGAUGGAUCUAUUCUAUAUGGAGGGAUAGAUAUGGGUUGAGUAUCUAGAAGAAAGUCUAUUCUGAAGUCUAUUUCCUUUUUGGGAGGAACUCCGGGAAGAUCUUUAGGAAAUAUAUCUGAGAAUUCAUUUACUACUAGAACUGACCCAAGGGUUGGAGUUUUUGAAUUAGAUUCUUCGACUUGAACAAGAUGGUAAAGACACCCCUUCGAUAUCAUCUUUCUCGCUCUAAGGUAUGAAAUCAACUUACCUCUAAAAUCUAUGGUACUACCCCUCUAUUCAAGGACUGGUACCUUUGGAAAAUGAAAAAUAAACUAUUUUGUUUCUACAAUAAACUGAGGCAUAGCAUGAGUGGGGCCAAUCCAUGCUGAGAAUGACGUCAAAAUCCAUCAUCUCUAACUCCACGAGAUCAACUAAGGUAACUUUCUGAGAUAUUGUAACUAGACAGUUCCUGUAAACCUGUCUGGCUAUAAUGGAAACACCUACUGAGGUAGACACUGAAAAGGGCUCAACUAGAGGUUUGGGACUUACUCUGAAAUUGAUAGCUACAUAUGAAUUUACAAAAGAAAGAGAAGUAUACCUGCAAUGUACCAGUAACUACGUCAGGAGAAUUUUCCUGAUCUUGGUGGGACUGAAGAGCAUAUAAUCUAUUUGUACGCUGACCACUGGUAGCACUGGAAGUGGCACCUUACUGAGUUGGGUGAUCAGACAGAACAGACGGCUGAUGGGACUAGCUCUAUUGGUGUAAAUCCCUACUUUCUGAGCAGCUACCCGACACUCCUAAAUUUGAUGGCCUGGCUUACGACAUCUGAAGCACACAUCACUGCUAGCUCUACACUCACCCAAAUGAUAUCUGUCACACUUCUAACAUAGAGAGUUCAUAUAGGCACUGCUAAUACUGCCUUGGGACUUAGAUCCCGAUGCUUUAUCCCUAUUAUUAUUUCUAAAUUUGGGUAUUGGGUCACUGGGUAGAGAGGGUGUUAGGGAUGAAGAUCUCUAAUGAAACUAAGAAUGGUUACCACCUUCUAACUAUGGCUGACUAAAAUUAAAACUACCUGUUAUAACUCUCUUGUUUCCACUCUCUCUCUCCUUAAUAUUCUGCUCCUUAAUUUGUUGGACAUGGACCAUCAACCUAGACAAGUCCAUCUCCCAAAUCAGCAUUAUGGUCCUGCACUCCCUGACGGCACUAUCAGAUACACUAGACACAAACUUACUUAUCUUAGAUCUGUUGUCAGCUACUACAUGAGGAGCAUAUCUAGAUAACUGAGUAAAUUUGAGGGAAUACUCUUUCAUGCUUACGCUGCCCUACCUCAAGUUAAUAAAUUCUAGCACCUUGGCCUCCCUCAACUCCAAUGGGAAGAAUUUAUCUAAGAAAGUUAUGGCAAACUCUUCCCACUCUACAGGCCUUGCAUCAACAUCCCUAUCUACUUUCCACUGCUUAAACCAUGUAUGGGCUACAUCCUGCAACUGAUAUGCAGCCAACUCAGCACUCUCACUGGAUGUCACCCCCAUGGCAUCUUCUACCUUUUGAACCAUAUCUAAGAAUUCUUGGGGAUUCUCUUCAUACUUGGAUCCCAUGAAAAAAAUGGAUUCAUCCAGGUGAAGUACCAAAUUUUGGUUACAGUAGUAUUAGCCAUUGGAUUGGCCGAAAUAGCAGGUGGUCGUUCAUUCUAGGCUGCUACAGCUCUAAAUUCUGUGUAAGAGAAUGCUCAUCUAGAGGAUCUACCUAGAUGGGAAAAGGUGAUGUAAAUACUGUGUAUGCAUAAAAGUCUGUAAAUGUUAAAGUUAUGUGAAAAACUAUAGAUACUGAGGAUGUAUAACCACGGAUAUAACAUGAACUAAAUAAAUUCUGUAAACUAAAAUACUGAAAUAAUUGAUAUCCCAAUGCCUUGGUCAAACAAUACUAAGACUGAACUACUGGUCAGAUUAUUAGACUGAGACUGUGGGAGGUAUUAUCUAACCGACUUGCCCCAAUCUAAGGUAAUCGGGGUCCAACUUAUAAUCCCAAUUAAAUGGGUGUUAAUAUCAUGCCACGGGUACUAAAACUGGUUGUGUGGAUCUACUAUACUGAUAUACUAUUCGAAGGACUAAGGGUGUCAAGCCUGAACUGAUGUGUGACUCCUGCGAGAUAGUCAAGCCUAAUCUGACAGGUGACUCCUUAUAUCCUAUGGUGGCUAUGUAGUUCUGAAGUAUAGGGACUACUACUAAUGACUCUGCCUACCUGACGGGUAAGCCUCCAUCCCUACACUCGCUCGGUGAUAAAUCCUACUCCCAGCUGAAAGACACUGAAAUACUAGACUGUUCUAAGUUUAACUGACUGAUAUCUGACUGUCCUGAUAAUGCUCAUAGUAUGUUCUGAAGACUAUUCUCUAAUGUACUGAGACUAGACUAAGUAAAUAGCUAUGGUUUUAUGGUAUUCAAUACCCCCAAGACUCUAAAACAAUAAAAGUAAAAUGACUCUAAAUUUUGGAGGACAAAGCAUGAAGGCUUUUAUUAAAUCAAUCACUCUUGUAGGCAUGUUAUCAAAUAUUUGGAGUUCAUGGUUUGAUCAAAUCAUAGGAAUGUCAUGGAACUUGUAGUAAAAGCAUGAAUUCAAUAUGAAUACUACUAAAUCAUGAUUUAAUUCAAGGAAUGAUAACAUUAAAAUAUGGAGAAUUGAAUAACAACAAUAAUUUCAUUGAAACAUAGUAUAAAAUCAUAGUUCAUAGAGAUUCAUAGGUGAAAUCACAAUUUAAAAUCAAAUAACCUGAAAAGAUCACAAUUUUGUAAUUUAAAAAGGAUACUUGGACUCCAUGGAGGAAAACAACCCAUAGAUGAACACCUAACAUACCUGAGUUAAUGAAUUUGGAAGGAUUGAUGGUGAGUUCUUGAGAUUUGGCCUUGAAUUUGAGAGAUAGGGUUUCUUGUUCUUGAAAAGGGGAUCUUUAAUUUGAGAGGAAUUGAAUAAUGAUGAGUAUUUAGAUCAAUUAGGGGUUAAAUUUCGUAUUUAGGGUGAGUUUAGGGAUUAAGAAAAAGACCUAAAUACCCCCUAAAUGAAUUUUAAAAUGUAAGCUGAAAACUGAAGAUCCUGAUUUUUGGCCUUGGCACAAUGCGCCACUAUCGCGCCAAGCCACUAGAAAAGGGACAAUAGGGAAACUGGAUGAUAGCGCGAUGCGUAAGGUCGUUGUCCUUCUCUAGAAUUCCAUUUUGGCCACCUCCAAGAUGUGCCAAAAUCGCGGAGGCUCACUAAAAAUUGCCCAACAUGAAAUGGGUCCUUAGCGCGAUGUGCCAACAUCGUGGUACCACACUAAAAACUGGAAAGCUAAUUGAACUUCUUACGCAAAUACAGGCUCUAAACUGAAAAUUAAUGAGUAUUUAGAAAAUUUUAUAUAUGACUAAUUAUGUAUUGGGACUUAGAUUAUGCUAGGGAAAUACGGGGUAUUACACAUAUACACAUAUUCGAAAUAAAUUUCACAAGAUUGGGUUGAGGUUAUACCAAUUACAACAUUAAAAACCAUCAAUUUAGGGAAUCCACGCCCCCCAUAUAAUUAACCACACCCAUGCACCCUAAAUUGUUCAAAACCAUCAAUUCAAAUCGUGAAUCAUUCAUAAAAUCCAUGGGAAAAAUAAUUCAUUUAUUGAGGCUCAAAACCCUCAAUCCAUAUUCAUAAACCACAAUUUAAUCACAAGAAUAACAAUUGUAAAUACAUGAUAUUAACAAAAUAAACAUUGGUGAAGAGUAACAUUCUUGAUAUAUAAAGAAUUAUGAAGAGAAAUCAACCAUUAGAUGCUCUAAUUUUCAAUUACUUGGAAACCCUAGCGUUCCUGACUUAGGGAUUUGAGAGAGAAGAGAGCAUGUAUUUGAUUGUUAAAGUGAUAAAAAUAACCCUUUUUGGGUGUUUUAUGUAUGUGGGUCCUAAGUAGGGAAGAAGGUAAAUGACAAGAAUGCCCCCACUUUAAAGUGUAGAAAAAGUCGCGUUGUCGUUACUAGUUACCUUACGACUUGUGAAAUCUAGCUACGAGUCGUCUCCACAACUCAUAGUAUGAGAAGUAUCUCAAGGACCCCUUACUAUUGACCCUAUGAGUCACACACUAUGACUCAUGAUGUUUCAAUACAAUACAUAGGGUCCUAGUCAUUGUCAAGGGAGAAAUAUCAGUCACCUUUACUGGUUUGGAUAUGAGAAGCACUAUGCGACUCGUGUAGAGUCUUGAUAACUCGUUGGGUCAAGUUGUACUCAGAAAAGACACCUUGGGAAACCUUAUUGGUCAGCCUAUGAUUGCGGUACUACAACCCAUCAAUACACCAUACGACUCAUAAGGUGAGUCAUAAUCAGGGCAGAAAGCUGAAAGUCUAGAAAUUUUUCAAGGACCAAAAUUUAGGGUGUCACAUCCCCCCCCCCCUUCCCAGGGAUUAUUCAUCCCUGAAUAAUGAGUCAAGGCAUCCAUUAGCACAAUUUCAAGAUAGAACACGACCACAAAUUUCCUUUCACAAGGUUAUAAAACAAAGAUGUUAAGGAACACACAUAGCUUAAGCACGAUUAUCUGGAACAUGGAAAAAGAACGAAUAUUUGGACUUCAUGUCUUCUUCAUCUUCCUAAGUAACUUAUUCAACCUUAUGAUUCCUCCAUGGAGCGUUCACUGAAGCCACAUUCUUAGUCCUCAAUAGACGAACAUGCCUAUCCAAAAUAUCCACUGAGAUUUCCUCACAAGAUAAGGAAUCUGUAAUACCCACACUCACUAAAGAAACAGCCAAGGAAGGAUCACUACUCACUUCUUUAACAUCAAAACAUGAAAUACCAAGCGAAUGGAACCCAAACUAGAUAAAUUCAACUCAUAAGCCAUAUUUCUUACUCUCCUCAAAAUCAAGUACGGGCCAAUGUAACGGGGACUGAGUUUCCCUGUCUUUCUAAACCUCAUCACUCUUUUCAUGGGAGACACGUUCAAGAACAUCCAAUCACCAAUAUCAAACUCCAAUUCCCUAUGCCUCACAUUCGUAUAGGACUUUUGGCGAAUUUGGGCGAUCAUAAGCCUAUCCUAAUCACCUUCACCUUCUCUAUGAUCUGAUGGACUAAGUCAAGAACUAACAAUCUAGUCUCACCAACUUUGAACCACCCAAUAGGAGAACGACAUCUCCUACCAUAUAAAGCCUCAAACGGAGCCAUCUGAAUACUAGAAUGAUAGUUGUUAUUAUACGCAAACACUAGGAGAGGAAAAUAUCAACCCAACUACUACCAAAGUAAAUCAUGCAGGCCCUUAGCAUAUCUUCCAAAGUCUAAAUAAUUCUCUUCACUUGUCCAUCCAUCUGAGGGUGGAAAGCGGUGCUAAGGUUCACCUUAAUUCUGAAACUUCUCUGAAAAGACCGCCAAAAGUGAGAUGAGAACUGCAUACCUCGAUCAUAUAUAAUGGAAACAAGAGCACCAUGCAACUUGAUGAUCUCCUAAAUAAAAAUUUUAUUAUAAUCCUCUGCAGAAUAAUUAGUCCUUACGGGCAAGAAAUAAGCAGACUUGGUUAUCCCAUCCACGAUGACCCAAAUCGAUUCAAACUGAUGACGAGACUAUGGAAGACCAAUAUCAAAGUCCAUGUUAAUUACUUCAGACUUCCACACGAUCAACUUAAUAUCCUAAGACAAACCACCAGGCCUCAAGUGCUCCACUUUCACUUUAUGACAAAUCCUACACUUGGCCACAAAAUUAGCUACAUCCCUCUUCAUGUUAUUCCACCAAUAGAUCUCUUUCAAGUCAUGGUUUAUUGUAACACCCCGGGAGUACACCCUGGAUGCUACACGGUGCUUACGGUCAUAAAUGACCCCAAGCCAAUCCAUGAGCUAGUAGCUAUUGUGAGCACUGAACAAACUAAAAACAAAAGAUACACAUAUGCAAAAAAACUAAAAACGCUACAAGGUUUAGCUACUAAAACAUCUCUAAAAUUUUAAGCUUGAAAAUAAUUGUUUGAACAGAAUACUAUAAAGACUAUCAAAAACAACUAAUAAUUGACUAACUAUCUGAAAGUAUUUGAAAGCCUCUAACUAACUGACUGUAAAGUUGAUAGGGACAAGUCUCCAACUAACUCCGACUGGCUACUAAAUUGAAACACUGAAAUAACUAUAAACAGUCCUUGGAGUAUGAGGACUCACCACUGAUACGCUGGGUGGUGUAGGUGCAGUUGAGAAAAUGAGUGUUCGAACUUAUGAUAUGAUACAUCAUAGCACAAGAAACAAGUAUAUGGUCAAUACUUUGAAUGUACUGGUAUGCUAGAUCGGGUUAGAAUGAUAUGCAUGGGCUCGUGUACAUGAAUAAUAACUACCCAAAUAAAUAGCAUGAGAUAACCGAUGCAUGGUAUACAUGAAAGUUGUAAAAUCAGAGCAUGCAUGACCAAGCAUAUAACAUGAUACUGAAAUAGUUUGUAAACUAAAAUCAUUGAAAUCUAGUAACUAAAUAACUGAUAAUUGUAUGCUAUAGUCAAUACAAACCUAAACUGAAUUAUACUAAAGACUAAACUAAGACUAUGGGAGCUAGCUAUAACCGACAUGCCCCAAUAUAUUAUCAAUGUCCAACUUGUAACCCCAGUUGGAAGGGUGUCAGUACCGUGCCAUGGGUACUAACACUGGCUGUAUGGAUCUACUAUCUGAUGUCCCAGAGGAUGAGGGUGCUAUGCCUAAUUGAUGGGGGACCCCUUAAAUUCUAUGGUGUCACCGUUGGUCUGGAACCUAGGGACUGCUACUAACGCCUCAUGCCUAACUGAUGGGGGAGACUCCAUCCCUAAGUUCACUUAGUGUUGAAUGUUACUCCCAACUUAAGAAAUUAAUUCUAUACUGAAAUAAUAAUGAUUAAACCAACAACUAAUCAUACUAACCGCUUGAAGGAUAAUGCUUAUGGUUUCUAUGAGAUCGUUCUACAAAUACUGGGACAAUGUAAACAGCUAAAUUUUGGAGAAUUCAUAACCCCAAGGACUCAAUGAUAAUAAUAAUAAGAACAUACUGAACCUUCGAAAACCAUAAUAAGUAGUCUUUGUUCAAAACCCAAAAUCAUUUAGGCAUUUCAUCAAACACUUUAAAUUCAUGGGUUUAAGCAUGGGAAUAGUGUAAUUCAUGGUAUAAUAACAUAACUUCAGUACUAAAAUCAUGGGUUAAGAAUUUAAAAUGCAACUUUCAUCCUUCAAACAUGUCAAGGGCUAAUAUUCAACGAAAACACAUGUAAAUAUGGUAUAAAAAUUGAAACUCAUGGAAGUUCAUGCACAUAAUUCAUGAUAACAUGUAAAGAUCAAAAUUUUAAACUUGAAAAUAGAUUCUUGGACUCCAUGGGUGAAAAGGACCCAUGGAUGAACAGAAAACAUACCUUAAUUGAAUAAUUCGUGAAGGUUCUUGGUAGUUUUCUUGAAACUUGAGCUUGAAUCUUGAAGGGGCUAGGGUUUGUUCUUGAGAUAGAAUGGUUUUCAGUUGAGGGAGUUUGAGUAAAAGAUGACCAAAUAUGCUUUGGGGGGCUUUAAUCCCAUUUAUGGCUGAGGUAAAGUGAGGGAAAAGACUAAAAUACCCUCCUGGACCCAGAAUUAAUUAACCUUAAACGUGGCCAGUGACGCGAUAAGCGACGUGUCGCAUUGCUCAGUCAAUGCAUUAGGAGACGCAUCGCAUUGCACCCCACCAAUAUGAUAAGCGGUGUGCUGCGGCCAUAUCACACUGACUCACUGGUUUGAACAUCCAAACAAGCCUUAAACCUCAUCCAAAAAAUCUAAAACUUACCCAAGACAUGCUACCAACCACCUCGAUCAUGAAUCAACUUAAAAAUCAAUGUUCUAAGGCCGAGUAGGUCGGAAUUAAAAUUGUCAAAGUUUAAGGGGCUUUGAAAAUGACUAAGUCUUAACACAUAGUGAAAUUUUCUAAGUCUUGGACCCCUUUAACAUGCAAGAGUGAGCUGAAAUAAGUUAGGACAUUACAGGGUCUUAUAAUAUCUCCCAUUUGGGAAUAUUUAUUCUCGAAUUAGAUUGGUUAAACUGAGUAUUACUGAGGUAUUGAGAUGACAUGAUGAAUAUACACAACUGAAACAUGAUUUCAUGACUGAGUUUGAACAUGGUGACUAACUAAACUGGUUUGUGAAUACAUGCAAUGACAUGAAUAUGACCAUAUGGCUGUAACUGAGGAUAGAAAAGAGAUAAUCUAAGGGAAAACUAUUACCUCGAACUGAAUCUAAGUUUGCAGAGAAGAGGUGAGGGUACUUGGUUUGCAUAUAUGCUUCUAUUUUCCAAGUGGCUCCCUCAACAAGCUUAUUCCUCCAUAAAACUUUAACCAGGGAAACAUUUUUGUUCCUUAGUCUCCAAAUCUGACAAUCUAGGAUCUCAACUGGGAUCUUUUCAUACGAAAUGCUAUCCUGAACAUCUACACUUUUAAGGGAACAACUACAGCUGGAUCGCCAAUACACUUCUUUAAUAAAGAAACAUGGAACACUUGGUGAACGGAUGCCAAGUCUGCAGGCAAUUCAAGCUCGUAAACUACUUUUUCAAAAUGACUCAAGAUCCUGUAAGGUCCAACAUAUCGGGGACUAAGUUUUCCCUUCUUGAUAAACUUUUUCACUCCCUUCAUGGGAGAGAUUUCAAAUAAAUUGAGUCUCUAACUGCUAACUCGAGAUCCUUCCUAUGAACAUCCGCAUAUGAUUUUUGGCAGCUUUGGGUUGUCUUAAGCAUUUCUCUGAUUACCUAAGCUUUCUUCAAUGGAUUAAAUACUGAAUCUGUACCUAUCAACACAGUCUCACCUACCUCAAACCAACCAAUAGGAGAUCUAUAUCUCCUCACAUAGAGAGCCCCAAAUAGAGCCAUCUGAAUACUAGAAUGAUAACUAUUACAGUAAGUAAACUCAAUUAGUGACAAGUGAUCAUACUGCCCUUAAAGUCGAUAACACAAAAUUUGAAUAUGUCCUCUAAGGUAUGAAUAAUCCUCUCUGCCUGACCAUAUAUCUGAGAGUGAAAGGUUAUAUUGAGACAAACUUGGGUGCCAAAGCCCUUCUGAAAAGCUUUCCAAAAGUAAGAGGUAAAAUGAGUACCUCUAUCUAAAAUAAUGAACAAUGGGACUCCAUGUAACCUAACCAACUCUUUAAUAUAGAGCUUGGAAUAAUCUUCGACUGAAUAAGAAGUAUGGACUGGUAAGAAAUGGGCUGAUUUGGUCAUUCUAUCUAUAAUAACCCAAAUCGAAUCAUGCUGACGACGUGAACGAGGCAACUCUAUCACAAAGUUCAUGUUUAACUCUUCCCACUUUUAAGUGGGUAUCCUGAACUCCUACAUAGAGCCACUAGGCCUUUGGUGCUCAACCUUAACCUACUAACAAUUAGAACACUUUGCUACAAAUUUUACAAUAUCUCUCUUCAUUCCACUCCACCAAUAGAUUUCCCACAAAUCACGGUACAUCUUAGUAGCUCCUAGGUGAAUUAAGUAAGGCGCACCAUGUGAUUCUACAAGAAUUUACUGCCUUAACCCAUCAACACACGGUAUGCACAGCCUACCCUGACACCGCAACGCACCAUCUUCUCUUAGGAGAAAACCUCUACCUUUUGAUCUCUGACUAACUCCUUCAACAUAACUAGACUAGAAUCCUUAUCUUGAUUUUCUUUCACUUUGGCAACCAAAGAAGAUUCUAAACUUUUCUGAACCCAUACACUACCCUCAGCUGAGUCAACCAAAUGAAUGCCUAAUCUAUCCAACUGAUGAACCUCCUGAACCAACUUCUUUUUAUCACUCUCAACAUGAGCAACAAUACUCAUAGACAAUCUACGAAGGGCAUCUUCCACUACAUUGUCCUUGUUCAGAUGAUACAAAACACUCAUAUCAUAAUCUUUCAAUAAUUCUAACCACCUUAUCUGACGAAUAUUUAACACUUUCUGCAAUAACACAUACUGCAAACUCUUGUGAUCUGUAAACACAUCAAUAUGUACCCCAUACAGAUAAUGCCUCUAAAUCUUUUAGGCAAACACAACGGUUGCUAACUCAAGGUCAUUGGUGUGAUAAUUCUUCUCAUGAGGAUUAACCUGUGUAGAUACAUAGUUUAUAACAUUACCUCUCUGCAUCAGAACGAACCCCAAACCAACUCUAGAAGUAUCCCAGUAAGCAACAAAUCUAUCUGAACCAUCUAGCAAGGUCAAAAUUUGGGAUGAAGUAAGUUGAGUCUUCAACUGCUGAAAACUCUUCUUGCAAGAAUUUGACCACUAAAACUUGAUGUUCUUCUGAGUCAAUCUGGACAUGGGGGGGUGCAAUAGAUGAAAAGCCUUCAACAAACCAUCAAUAAUAUCCAGCCAAACCUAAGAAACUCUUAAUAUCUAAUAGAGAAAUAGGUUGGGGCCAGUUUCUCACUGCUUUGGUCUUUUGAGGGUCAACUCUAAUGCCAUCAGCGAAAAUAAUAUGGCCAAGGAAAUCUACUAAUCUUAUCCAAAACUUUCACUUAUUGAAUUUGGCAAAUAGUUAAUGGGCUCUAAGAGUCUACAAUACUAUUUUGUGGUGGUCUGCGUGAUCAUUUUCAUUAUGGAAAUAGACAAGGAUAUCAUCUAUGAUGACUAUGAUGAACAUGCCCAAGUACUGUUUGAACACUCGAUUCAUCAAGUCCAUAAGAGCUACUGCGGUAUUUUUCAGACCAAAGGACAUGACAAAAAACUCAAAGUGACCAUACCGAGUUCUAAAAGCUAUUUUUGGAAUGUCACAUUCUCUGACUCUGAGCUAGUGGCAGACGAAUCUGAAGUCUAUCUUAGCGAAAUAACUGGCACCCUGAAGUUGGUCAAAUAAGUCAUCAAUCCUGGGUAAUGGAUACUUAUUCUUGAUUUAUGACUUUAUUCAAUUGACGGUAAUCGAUACACAUUCUAAGAGAACCAUCUUUCUUAUGCACGAAAAAGAUUGGAGCGCCCUAUGGGUAAACACUGGUCUGAUGAAUCCUUUGUCUAAGAGGUCUUUUAACUAUUCUUGUAACUCCCUAAGCUCUAUUGGAGCCAUUCUGUAGGAAGAAAUAGAGAUAGGCUAGGUAUCUAGACGAAGGCCUAUUCCAAAGUCAAUUUCCCUUUUGGGAUGAACCCUGAGAAGAUCUUUAGGUAACACAUCUAGAAAUUCCCUCACUACUGAAACUAACUCGAGACUGAAAGUCUUCAAACUGGCAUCUUUGACUCAAACAAGAUGGUAUAAACACUCCUUAGAUAUUAUUUUUCUCACUCUAAGGUACAAAACAAGCUGACCCUUAAGUGCUAAAGUACUAUGCUUCCAUUCUAGGACAGGUUUAUUCAAAAACUGAAAAUGAAUAACCCUCUUUCUACAAUCAACUAAAGCAUAGCAUGAGUGGAGCCAAUCUAUGAAGAAAAUGACAUCAAAAUCCGUUAUCUCAACUCCACAAGGUCAGCUGAAGUAACUUUUUAGGAUAUUAUGACCGGACAGUUCCUGUAUACCGGACUGUCUAUAAUAUAGACACCUACUGGAGUAGACACUAAAAAGGGUUGUGCUAAAGUCUCAGGACUGACACCAAAAUUCAUAGUUAUAUAGAGAGUUACAAAAGAAAGAGAAGCUCCGAGAUCUAACAAAACAUAAAAAUAUAAAUAAAAGACCUGUAACACACUUGUAAUAACAUUAAGAGAACUUUCUUGAUCAUGAUAGGACAGAAGUGCAUACAAUCUAUUCUAGUGCUGACCGUUGGUAGCACUAAAAGUGUUGCCUUGCUGGGUCGGGCGACCUGUUGGUGCUGCUGAAGAGUUAGUCUGACCCUACUAGUGAUCAUUCAUACCCUUCCACAUACCAUUCGAAGAUUCCUUCAACCUGUCGCCUGGAUUUCUAUAUCUAAAACACACAUCGCUGCCAGCCCUGCAUACCCCUUAAAGAUUCCUACCAUAUUUUUUGCGGAGGGGAUUAGUUUGACCACUAUUCACACUACCCUGAGUCUUAGAGCCUAGCACCCUAUCUCGAUUACCAAUUAUGAACUUUGGCAUAGGAGCACUAGCUAAAGACAAAGCUGGAGCUAAAGAUUUCUAACAGAAUUAAGGAUGGUUACCACCCUCUGACCUCGACUGAGUAAAAUUAAAGCUACCUAUCCUAGACCUCUUGUUCUCCCUUUCUUUUACCUUAACCUUCUACUGCUCAAUCUGCUGAGCAUGGACCAUAAUCCUAGACAAGUUUAUUUCCUUCAUCAACAUUGCAGUCCUACACUCCUUGACCAUGCUAUUAGCUACAACAGAGACCAACUUAUCAUUUUAGACCUGUUAUCAGCCACCAUCGAAUGAGAAUACCUAGCCAACUGGGUAAACUUAAGGAAAUACUCCCUCACACUCUUGUUACCCUACUUCAAGUUAAUAAAUUCCUGCACCUUAUCUUCCCUUAACUCUAAGGGAAAGAACCUAUCUAAAAAGGUAGUAGAAAAUUCCUCUUAUUUAAUAUGCCCUACAUCUAUGCCUCUAUCCCCCUUCCACAGCUUAUACUAGGUGAGUUACGUCCUAUAACUAGUAAGCACCCAACUCUACACUCUCACUAAAGGUCACAAUAAUAAUGUCAGUUACCUUCUGAACCAAGUCAACAAACUCGUUCGGAUCCUCAUCAGACUUGAAUCCCAAAAACAGAGGAGGGUUUAUUGGGUAAAGUCCCAAAUCCUAGCUGCGGUAGAGUUUGCUACUGGAAUGGCAGGGACAGUAGCCUGCUUAUUAUUCUGAGCUACUACUGAGUGAUCUAAAGUAGUGAAGGAGUUUAUGGAUUCAUCAUGAGAGACAUGCUCGUUCAAGUAAGUCCCAAAUCCUAGCUGCGGUAGAGUUUGCUACUGGAAUGGCUGGGACAGUAGCCUGCUUAUUAUUCUGAGCUACUACUAAGUGAUCUAAAGUAGUGAAGGAGUUUAUGAAUUCAUCAUGAGAGACAUGCUCGUUCAAGGGAGCUUCCUGAACAAGUGGAGGUGCCGGCUGAUUCUCAUUUCUUCUUCUGCUAUUCUUUCUGGGAGGCAUAUACUGUAGACGGAAACAAGAUUGAAUUAGAAAGAGAGUUUAAAUUGAGAUCAUUCUCAUUCACACGAUAUGAAUACUGAAAGAAGGAAAACUUCUCCUAAAAUAUUUUGUAGCCUCUUGUCCAUAAGUGUGGCGCAUUUCACACCCAUGCACAAGGCUCUACUCAACAUGGCUUUCAGAAUCCCUAGGAUAUUUUAAAACCUUAGGCUCUGAUACUAAGAUUGUAAUACCCCAGGAGUACACCCUAGAUGCCACACGAUGUUUACGAUCACAAGUGACCCCAAGCCAACCCAUAAGCUGGUACUUGCUGUGAGCACUAAAUAAACUGAUAAAAAAAUAUACACAUAUGCGGAAAACUAAAAGCGCCAUAAGGUUUAAAUACUAAAACAUCUGUAAAAUUUAAGCUUGAAAACAAUUGUCUAAACACAAUACUAUAAAGACUGUCAAAAAUAACUGAUAACUGACUAACUAUCUGAAAGUGUCUGAAAGCCUCUAACAAACUGACUGUGGAGUUGAUGGGAUAAGUCUCCAACUAACUCCAACUGGAUACUGAACUAAAACACUGAAAUAACCAUAAAUGGUCCUUGGAGUAUGAGGACUUACCACUACUACUGCUAUUGAUGCACUGGGUGGUGUUGGUGGAGUCGAGAACUUGAGCGUCUGAACCUAUGAUAUGAUACAUCAUAGCAUAAGAAACGAGUAUACGAUUAGUACUUUGAAUGUACUGGUAUGCUAGAUAGGGUUAGACUGAUAUGCAUGGGCCCAUGUACAUAAAUAAUAACUGCCUGAAUGAAUAGCAUGAGAUAACUGAUGCAUGGUAUGCGUGAAAGCUGUAAAAUCAGAGAAUACAUGACCAAGCAUAUAACAUGAUACUGAAAUAGUCCAUAAACUAAAAUCACUAAAAUCUGGUAAUUGAAUAACUAAAAAUUGUAUGUUAUGGUCAAUACAAACCUGAACUGAAUUAUACUUAAGACUAAACUAAAACUCUAGGAGCUAGCUAUAACUGACAUGCCCCAAUAUAUUAUCAAGGUCCAACUUGUAACCCCGGUUGGAAGGGUGUUAGUACCGUGCCACGGGUGCUAAGACUGGCUAUGUGAAUUGCUAAGACUGGCUAAGUGGAUCCACUAUCUGAUGUGCUAAAGGACGAGGGUGUCAUGCCUAACUGAUGGGGGACCCCUCAAAGUCUACGGUGGCGCCGUAGGUCUAGAACCUAUGGACUGGUACUAACACCUCAAGCCUAAGUGACGGGGGAGACGUCAUCCCUAAGUUUACUCGGUGCUAAGUAUUACUCCCAACUGAAGACAUUAAUUCUGAAAAUGAAAUAAUCGUGACUGAACCAACAACUGAUCAUACUAACUUAUUGAAGGAUAAUGCUUAUGGUUUAUAUGAGAUCGUUCUACAAAUACUGGGACUAUGUAAACAGCUAAAUUUUUGGGUAUUAUAACCCCAAGGACUCAAUGAAAAUAAUAAUAAGAAUAUACUAAAGCUUUGAAAACCAGAAUAAGUAGUCUUUGUUCAAACCCAAAAUUAUUUAGACAUUUCAUCAAACACUUGGAAUUCAUGGGUUUAAGCAUGGGAAUAGUGUAAUUCAUAGGAUAAUAACAUAACUUCAAUUCUAAAAUCAUGGGUUAAGAAUUUAACAUGCAACUUUCAUCCUUCAAACAUGUCAAGGGGUAAUAUUCAACGAAAACACACGUAAAUAUGGUAUAAAACUCAAAAUUCAUAGAAGUUCAUGGACAUAAUUCAUGAUAACAUAUAAAGAUCAAAAUUUUAAACUUGAAAAUAGAUUCUUGGACUCCAUGGGUGAAAAGGACCCAUGGAUAAACAUCAAAAAUACCUUAAUUGAAGAAUUCGUGAAGGUUCUUGGUGGUUUUCUUGAAACUUGAGCUUGAAUCUUGAAGGGGCUAGAGUUUAUCUUGAGAGAGAAUGGUUUUCAAGAGAUAAUUUGAGUAAAAGAUGACCAAAUAUGCUUUUGAGGGCUUUAAUCCUGUGUUAUGGCUGAGGUAAAGUGAGGGAAAAAGACUAAAAUACCCUCCUAGACCAGGAAUUAAUUAAGCUAAAACGUGGCCAGUGACGCAUCACUCAGUCGAUGCAUUAGAUGACGUAUCGUAUUGUACCCCACCAACGUGAUAAGAGGCACGUCGCAGCCCUAUUACGCUGAAUCGCUGGUUUGAACAUCCAAAUAAGCCUCAAACCUCAUUCGAAACUUACCCAGGACAUGCUACCGACCACCCCGAUCAUGAAUCAACUUAAUAAUCAAUGUUCUAAGGCCGAGAAGGUCGUAAUUAAAAUCGUCAAAGUUUAAGGGGCUUUGGAAAUCACUAAGUCUUAACACUUAGUGAAAUUUUCUAAGUCUUGGACCCCUUUAACAUGCAAGAGUGAGCUAAAACGAGUUAGGAUCUUAUGGGGUCUUACAUAAAUCUUAGUCAAACUAGGAUAAACAGUGUACCUUGACUCAUGAGACUCAACCAAGAUCCUCUAUCACAGCCAAUCAACAUCGGGAACACAUAAUCUGCUACCAUCACCACUAAUACCCAAAGUCAUGACUUUUUGCUAACCCACAUCAUCUUUGAUUCGCAUCAAAAUAGGAUCUAAAACCUGCUUCUCCUUUACCUCAGUACCAAGAGAGAACUUCACCACCUCUUGAAAGAUCACCCCACCUUCCUCGAAAUCCUAAAGAAGAACUCCAAGAUUAUCCAAAUAGUGAAUAUCCUUCACUAAACCUAGUUUCUCCUCAUCCACAUGAGAUAAGCUCCCCAUGAACAACCUGCUAAGAGAAUCAACAAACAUAUUAGCUUUACCUAGAUGAUAAUGGAGACUCAUAACAUAAUCCUUGAGAAACUCAAGCCAUCUCUGUUGCCUGAGAUUCAACUCCUUCUGGGUGAACAUAUAUUGCAAGCUCUUAUGAUCAGAAUAUAUGUCAACAUGAACUCCAUACAAGUAAUGAUGCCAAAUCUUCAAAGAAAAAACCACCAACAACAACUCUAAAUUAUGAGUCGGAUAAUUUCUCUCAUGCACCUUCAACUUCGUAGAGGCAUACGCCACCACCCUACCAUGCUACAUUAAAACAUAACCCAGUCUCAUACGGGACGCAUCACAAUAAACAACAAAACCAUCAGUACCCUCAGGUAGGGUCAAAACUAGAGCCAAAGGCAACUUAUCCUUCAACUUCUUAAAACAACCCUUACAAGCAUCAGACCACAGAAACUUUACCAUUUUCUGAGUCAACUUAGUCAAUGGAGCAGCGAUCGAAGAUAAACUCUUCACAAACCUCAUAUAAUACCCGGCUAAACCCAAGAAACUCCGAAUAUCAGAUAGAAUUAUGGGUAUAAGCCAUUUAUUAACCACCACAACUUUUUAUGAUCCCCUCACUAGAAAUAACAUAACUCAGAAAAGUAACAAUAUUCAACCAAAACUCAUACUUUGAAAGCUUAGCAUACAAGUGUUGAUUCUUAAGGGUCUGCAACACUAUACGGAGGUAAUUGGUAUGAUCCCCCUAAUUCUUAGAAUAUACCAAGACAUCAUCAAUAAACACAAUGAUGAAUAAGUAUACAACUGAUAAAAUACCCGAUCAUAAAAUCGAUAAAUAUCGCUGGGAUAUUAGUCAAAUCGAACGACAUGACCAAAAACUCAUAAUGACCAUACCGGGUAUGAAAAGGAGUCAUAGGGAUAUACACCUCCCUAAUCUUCAACUGAUGAUAACCCAAUCAAAGAUCAAUCUUAGAAAAGCAUCUAGUACCUUGAAGAUGGUCAAAGAGUCACUUAUCCUAGGAAGAGGAUACUUAUUCUUCACAAUCACCUUGUUCAACUGUUGAUAGUUUAUACACAUUUGAAUGGAUCCAUUAUUCUUAUGCAUGAAAAGCAUGUGAGCAUCCCAGGAAAAAAUACUAGGGCGAAUAAAACCUUCAUCAAGAAGAUCUUUCAAUUGUACUUUAAGCUCUUUCAACUCAGCCGGAGCAAUUCUAUAAGGAGGGAUAGAGAUAGGACAGGUAUCCAAAAGAAGGUCAAUCCCAAAGUCUAUUUCCCUAUUGGGAGGAAUACCAAAAAGAUCAUCACGAAACACGUUGGGGAACUUAUUGACUAUAGGGAUAGAUUUCAAAAAGGGGACCUCAGGAUUAGAAUCCUUAACCUGAACUAAAUGAUAUAGAUGCCCCUUGGAAAUAAAUUUUCAGGCUCUAAGAUAAGAAAUGAACCUCCUCUUAGGAGCUAGAGAACUACUUUCCCACUCAUUCACUUGUUCAUUCAAAAAUUGGAAACUGACCCUUUGAGUUCUAUAAUUAAGAGAUGCAUAGAACGAAUGGAGCCAAUCCAUCCUUAAAAUAACAUCAAAGUCUAACAUAUCUAAAUUUAUCAAAUCCACCAAUGUUUGUCUACCAUAGAUGGAUACCACAAAACCCCUAUAGACUUUUUUAGCCACAACAGAGUCACCCACUAGGGUAGACACAUAAAAGAGAUAAUAAAUACACUCAGGACCAAAACCAAAAUGAAUAGCCACAUAAAGGGUCACAUAAGAAAAAAUAGACCCUCAAUCAUAUAAAUAAUACAUGUUACAAGAGAAGAGUUAUAAUGUACUAGUGAUAAUAUCAGGAAGAGCCUCAAAUUCCUGAUGGGUGGCAAGAGCAUACAGACGAUUCUGACCAGUAACGGUACUAAAAGUAGUACCCUUUGGUGUAGAAGUUGAGUAAAUAGCAAACAAACCUUAUUAUAUCCAAAAGCAACCCUGAAGGACAACCCCAUUGUAAGUAACCAAGCUGACCAUACUUGAAGAACUUAUUCCUUCCCUCAUCACGCACUUCAUGAUGUACCUGCCCACAAAAAUGACAAAGGGGAUAAGAUUGGGAGACUGAGCUUUAUUGUCCUACAAUUAGGAACCUUAUGCGUUAAACCCACUAUUAGCCUAAAAGCAACGAUCACCGAAUGACUUCGUAUAUGGAGAACUAGCCGCAGAAUAAAAACCAUAAGUUCCCCACAUUUUCAUAGGCGACUGCCUAUCAUUUGUACCACUAAUUUGUUGGCCUUCAUCCUGCUCUGAAUACUUGAAUUUCUUACUUUGCCUUUCUCCUAUUUCGACUUGUUUCUUAUUUUCCUCCUCAACUUAUUAUAUGUACACCACAAGCCUAGAGAUAUCCAUUUAAUUAUUCAGCAAGGCAGCCUUACACUCUAACACCAAGUCCCGAGAUCAGCUUGAAGCAAACUUCCUUAUCUUAGACCUAUAUAAGACACCAACUCCAGAGCAUAGCGAGACAACUAAUGAAACUUUAAGGCAUACUCUUUCACAGUUAUCCUGCCUUGUUUCAAAUUCACAAACUCCUCAACUUUUUCCUCAUUCAACUCUUGAGGAAAAAAACUAUCAAGAAAUGCACUAGAAAUCAUCCUAUAUAUCUAGGUCAGCAUCUUCACCCCUCGACUGCUCCCACUCUUCAUACCACUUAAUGCCAUAUCCUUUAGCUAAUAUGUGGUGAAAUCCACACCCUCAAAGUCAGAAGCAUGCAUCACUAAGAAGAUUUUUUCCAUCUUAUCUAUGAACCCUUGAGGAUCCCCCUCAACCUUGGAAUCAGUGAAAGUCAGAGGACUCAACCUCAUGAAUUGACCAACCCUUAUGGCCUCAGAAUAUGAAGCAACAAAAGCAACACGCUCAGAAUAGUGCAACUGAGAUGCCACCAGCUGACUAGGCAAAUGGAUCGACUGACGAAACUCAGCAUUAUACAUAUCACCCUGAGGAGUUCGAGAAGGUUAGAGAGAAUCGAUAGAACUCCACGAGGAAAAUCAAAAGCACGAACCCUAGACUGGGUUUGUACCAUAUAAGUAGGAUGAGUUUCAUCCAUGUUGUAUUCCACGAGCAUCAGAUCUUCGUAAGGUAUGACCUGAAAUGUAAACAAAUGGGAAUUAGAGGAGAUUUCAACAUCCUAGACACUAUAGCUCAAAAGUUGAAUACAUGAAAGAAAAACAUUCCUAAAUUCCUUGUAGCCUCUCCCUUAUAAGAGUGGAACGCUAUAUACCCAUAAAAGAGACUCUACUUGACACGGCUUUAUGGAUACCCAAUUAACCAUGAACCUGGGGAUCUGAUACCAAACUUGUCACGACCCAAACUAGGGCCUGGACCCAAUUAACCAUGUUGUAUUCCACGAGCAUCAGAUCUUCGUAAGGUAUGACCUGAAAUGCAAACAAAUGGGAAUUAGAGGAGAUUUCAACAUCCUAGACACUAUAGCUUAAAAGUUGAAUACAUGAAAGGAAAAUAUUCCUAAAUUCCUUGUAGCCUCUCCCUUAUAAGAGUGGCACGCUAUAUACCCAUAAAAGAGACUCUACUUGACACGGCUUUAUGGACACCCAAUUAACCAUGAACCUAGGGAUCUGAUACCAAACUUGUCACGACCCAAACCAGGGCUUGGACAUGACAGGUAUCUUAAGUCCACCAAGGACCAAAGACUACCCUCUUUGCCUAGUAGAACAGAAUACAAUAUAGCUAGUAGUAGAUGAAUUCUGAACAUAUAACAAGACAGGAAACUCAGAAAGGAAUUUAAGAACUUCAACAACAUCUCAAUACACAGCAAUCCACAAAACUUCAAAAUAGACCAAAACCAAUCUAAGUUGGGACAUACCCCAGAUAAUAGCUAAAAAAAUCCAAUAAAAAUAAUCUAAGAUGUAAAUGAGACUUCAAAAUGAUAGAGAAUGGAAGCUCAUCACUUCAAAGGUGAUUGUUAAAAAUUCAAAAAUUCUAUCACUACAUAGAAAAAGUAAAAGUGUCUCUGAUUCCUAUAUCAUGUAGGGAUACAGCAUCCGGAGAUGGUUAGCAGGGUGAGCGCUAGCAUGUAACUAAGGAAAGGGAUAAAUUAAUGCCAAGUCAAAAACCAUAGUAAAAUUCACAUGCACACAUUGUACAUACAUAUAUAUAUAACAUGUUGGGGUAGGGAACAAGGUUUACCAUGAACGUAAAAUAUUAGCCUAGACUAUGUAGAUCUGUCAUCAUAAUAGUAUCCAUAGGAUAUAUGGGACCUAGGUCCCACCCCCUGGUCGAGCCUCAGUGCUUAUAGCCAUAUGAAUUGGAGAAUAAUCAUAUGUAUGAUAAACCACAUGGACUCGAAGAUCGGGUCAUAUAAUAAGGUUAACAUGAACACCUGAUCAUAAAAUAAGGGUAACUCGAACACCCAGCCAUUUAGACCCGUAUGCCCUUCAAAUAUAGUUUCCAGUAUUGGUCCCUCGGGACCUCCACUUUCAUAGCUUAGAUACACAACCCCCUUUAAGCCCAAUUAAAAUAUUUAGCACAUAACCAUUCAUUUGAUCAAGGAGGCAUUCAUUAAGGCAAUAUCAAGUGGUAUUUUUAUACCGACUAUAACUUGCAAGAGAAUUUCAUCAUUCCAAAUCAAAUAGCCAGUGGGACUCUAACCCACUAACUAAUAGGACUCUGGCCCAUUUAGCCAAUUGGGAUUCUAACCCAUCAGCCAAUAGGACUUUAAAAUAUUUAGCCAUUUAGGACUCAAACCCGUUUAGCCAUCUGGACUCCCAAGUUCCAUUUCAAAAUCAAUACAUGGCCAUAAAGGACUCUCAAACCAUUCUAUCCAUUAGCCUUUUUAUGCAAUUGUCAUAAUUCAAGAAUAGUUCAAUAUGUGUAUACUCAUAUUCAAAACAAAUUUUACAAGAUUGGGUUAAGGUUAUACCAUUUACAAUAUUCAAAACCAUUAAUUUUGGGAAUCCAUGACCCCCCAUUUCAAUUAACAACACCCAUGCACCCCAAAUAGUUCAAGACUAUCAAUUCAAACUGUGAAUCAUUCAUAAAAUUCAUGGGAAAAACAAUUCAUUCAUUGAGGCUCAAAACCUUCAACCCAUAUAUAUAAACCAUAAUUUAAUCACAAGAAUAACAAUUGUAAAUACAUGUUUUUAAAAAAAUAAACUUAGGGUAAGAGUAACAUAUCUGAGAUAUCAAGAAUUACGGAGAGAAAUCAACCAUUGGAUUCUCUAGUUGUCAAUUCUUUGGAAACCUAGUUGUUGUCUUAGGGAUAAAUAGAGGAUGUAUUUGAUUGUUAAAGUGAUGGAAAUAACCCUCUUUAGGUGUUUUAUGGACGUCGGUCCUGAGUGGGUAAGGAGGGAAAUGACAAGAAUUCCCUCACUUAAAAGUGUAAAAUUCAGUUAUCACGGGGCAUUUUAUGACUCGUGAAGUUAGGCUACUAGUUUGCUUCUCUAUAGACAUGCUUACAAUAAAAAUAAUCCAGUAAUCUGAUCAAAUCUCGUAACUCGGUGAUGUAAUAAAUAAGGUUCCAAGGAGGUGAAAUAACCUGUUUGAUCCACUUAGCUAGCAACUCUGACAGUACAGAGCAGUAUUAUACUUAUCAUCAGUUACCACAUGAUAAUAGAGGUUAUUAUAUGCUGGAUAAGGUGGAAAUGAUUAAUUUCAGAUGAAAGAAGUUAAAACGCAUAAAGCAGCCUUCUUAGAUUCACUUGGGUUGGAUCUUCUUGCACAGGUACUCACUUGUUUUACUUAUCCCAUCUCACUAUCUUCAUCUACAUUAUUCUCAUUAGUUUAUAGCUUUCAUGAAGAGAACAAGUUUUGUUUUUAUUUUCUUCUUACCUUGUAAGGGGAGAGUCUCUCUUAUUUAUAUUUUCCUAGAUUAUAUUGUGCUGAAAGGAGUCCUCUCUUCUAGGUGCUUAGAUCUAGAUUUCAUUUUUAGUAUCAAGGAUGAGUCGAUCGGCCUUAGUAGGUUAGUUGACUUUAAACCACCAUAGGUCAGAGGUAAGGUAUAUGUCCCCCUCUUUGUACUUUUAUUUAUUUUAUUUAUGAUACGGCUUAGGGGUGUAUGGAUUAACCCCUGACCAACACGGGAUGUGACAGCCCUGGGUAAGGUCCAUUUCUUAAAAAAAAGUUAGGCUACUAGUCGUCUCCAUGACUCGUAAUCUAAGAAGUAGCUUAAAUACCCCUCACUGGUGACCCUCUGAGUCACACACUACGACUCGUAAUGUGUCAUUAUGACAUGUAGUGUCCUAGUCAUUGUCAAGGCACAAAAAUUAGGUACCCUUAUUGGUUUUGCUACGAGAAGCACUAUACAACUCAUUUAGAGUCUUGACGACUCGUUGAGUCUAGUCGUACUUAGAAUAGGCACCUUGGGCAACCUCAUUGGUCACUAUAUAAUUGGGGUCCUAUAACCCGUCAAGACACUUUAGGACUCGUAAGGUGAGUCAUAAUUUGGGCAGUAAGCUCAAAGUCAAGAAAUUUUUCAGGGACCAAAAUCUAGGGUGUUAUAAUUAUGUUAUAAUGAUACCUCUCUUUUAUUGAAUAUUAUGAUGCUUAGUCAUAUGUUAAGUGUGACCAUCCUUGGCAUGAUGAUAAAAUUAUUGUUGCUAAUAUUAACCCUCAUGCCAUAAGGAUGUUUUGGUUGUUUGUUUUCCCUAUGGAUUUGCAAAGUGGAUUCGAGGAUGAAUCUUUUUAAAGAACGGGAGGAUGAUACAAUCCAAAUUGGAACCAACCUUUUAAGACCUAUAUUCCAAGGUAAACACAAUAGAAUCCAAUCCAUAGACAUCAUAAGGACAUAAAGAUAUAAGAAUAUGUUUGGAAAACCUUUUUUGAGACUUUAAAUAAGCAAUAUCAUGUUUGAAAGGUGGCUUGGAGCAUUAAAGAACCAACCACGAUAAGAAAAAGCUAAAGGACAUUUUUUCCAUUUUGGCGACAUAAGGGGAAUCACUAAUUACAUGGGCAAAUCACUAAUUAUCCUACCCAUAUCGCCAAAUAUGGCAGCUUUCUUGUUAGGUCUCUUUUAGGCCCAUUUGUGACAAACUUAGGCAUAGACUAUAAAUAGCUUGUCUUUCAUUUUUAUUAGGUAGAUUUUUAUGACUCUUGAGAGAUUGUGAGAGAUUGGAAAAGCCUAAGUUGAUUAUCGCUUAGCAACGGUAGUUGAAAGGGAGUUUUGAUUCCCUCGUGGUCAUUCUAAGAGAUAUUUGUUUGGUGAUAAUCUUAUGGAUGCUCAUUGUAUUUGAAAUAUCCUUCGGUUGUCCUUUUUUCUUAUCUUCUUGUGUCUAUUUAUCUAUUGAUUUCUCUAUUCUAUCCUUGUUAUCUUAGUUUCAUACUUUAUUUCUUUAUAUUUUGAAUUUUGGAUCGUAUCAUCCAUAAAAAAAUUUGUAAGGUCUACUAACUGUGUGACUAUGCCUAAGAGCAGUUUCUAUUUGCUUGCAUUAAUUUGAAACCACUACUAUAUUAAACUGGCUUAAAAAGUGCAGUUUUUACCUAAGUUCCCUACAUGAUUGGUUCCUCUUGUUUGCCUAACCUGUAGCAUUCCAGUAAAAAGAGAUUAUUUAUGUUACACAUUCAGAUUCGAGAGUUGGUUCUUUGUUUAAUCGUGAUUGGGCGGACUUUCCAUCAGAAUAUUUUUCAUGAAAGCCAAUUUUGUCAAUACACCCGCUCCCUCAUUCCUUAUUGUGUCGUAGGCCUGGACGAAUGAGUUAAUAAUAGAUUAGGUGAGGAAAACUACGAAUGUUCAUCCCAUGAAGCACCAGGGAAUCAUGCAUUUCUCCCAGGCUUGAACGAAGUCAAAGGAGAUUCUUUCAAUCGAUAUUCGCCCAAAAAAAAAGUAUAAAUAGCAACCCUAGACCCCUGGGAUAUGGCCUACAAGGAAGAGAAUAGUAACAUUGUAUUAUUCAUCCAACACUUUUUUCAGAUAUUCCCCCUUCUAGGGAUGCUUUCUCGAGCCUUCUUCCCCUAUUCUUUUUUUAUUUGGGGAUGACACGUACUUUAUCCCGAGUAGGUCAUGAGUGAUUUCUAUAUUCACAUAGAUAAUUUUGAAAUCUUCUUUCAAGCAGCUUCGUUCUUUUUCAUAGAGACUAUCCUUUGUAUAAGUCGUGACCCAUCUAAGGAAUGAGCUUCUCUCGAGUAAAAUAUCAUUGACCACAAGGAAAAGUUAAAAUCUCGACUAAAAACAAUAGUUGAUUAAAUGGCAAAUGAUCAUGGAAAGAGUCUUGCAUUCAAUGCUUCUGAUUCAGGUCCUAGACAACCAAGAAAAUAUGUGCUUAAACCUAUAAACAAGAAUUGUUGAUAAAAAAUUUUAUAUUUAAAUUAUUUAAUAAUGAAUUGAUAAUUUUUUUUCUUUUUUAUUUUGCAUUUCUUAUCAAAGGAGCUGAAAGUCACUUUUGAGCCGAAAGCCACUUAACUGUAAGGAAAUGAGAUUUGUUCCUUGGUUCAACUACUACCGAUUGAUGGGAGAAAGACAUGUGUGAAUUAGUACAAUUCAUUAUUUAUAGGCAUAUUAGACAUUCUAAGAUAAUCAUUUGGUUGGUCAUUUCCAACACUUCGGAUGGGCGGAAAGAUCUAACAGACUUUGGUAGGUAACAUCACCAAAGCGUACCAUUAUAUUUGACUAUGACAGAAAGAACUCAAAUGAAUAGACACCAUAUUGUGAAAGACAAUAGUAGUUGGCCUCUAUCAUCUUCUAUCUGAUAUACUUGAUAAAAACUCCUUACUUAUUUUCAAAACUUGAGUUCGAUCGCAACUUCCUCCUUUUUUUCAUAGGGGAGGAGGUGCAUGGGGCAUCAAUUUCCUUGCCAACUUUCGCCAAUCGACCCAGGUCUGUUUUUAUUUAUUUUGAAUAUUAUCAAACCUAUCUUAAUUUGUAGUUCCAACUCAACACAAGUUUCGCUUUUAAUAUUUUUGUUGUUUUCAAUUGAAAUUUCUUUUAUACAGAGAGAGUAAUAAUUAUGAUGGUGGAUGAUGUUGGUAUUGCUGUCACAGGUGUCAUGAAGGCGUUAUGAUGGUGGUCGGUAAUAGUGAUGGUUGUGAGGGUAAGGUUGGUUGAUGUCAGUAGUUGGCGGAUAUUGAUGAUGGUGGUUGAAGAAUGUGUUGGUAAUAUUAAAUGCAGAUGCUUGUUGUGAUAGUGGAAACGGCGCUAAUAAUGACAACAAUAAUAGUGACAGUGGAUAUAAUUAAUGAUAAGGGCAGUAAGUAUAGUAGCGAUUGAGAGUAGUGGUUAACAACAAUGAUGGUUGCUAGUGAUGGUUAUGAUGGCAGGGGUAUUUGGUGGUAGUAACCGAUUGUUGGCGGCUACAAAGGUGGUUGACAAUGAUGGUGGUUGUAACAUUGAAUAUAAUUAUAAUGAUGGAGGUGGUAUGUACGGUAGUGAUUGGUAGUAAUAGUGGACAGUAUUAGGUUGCAUUGCUAGUUGUGAUGACAGAAGUGGUUGGUCAAGUAAUAAUAAUGGUGGCUAGAUAGUAGGGAUGGUUAGUGAUGGUGACUGGGUAGGGUGGAUAGAGUGGUGGUGAAAUUAUCUACACAAAAUACCACUUAAUAUAUUUCUGCUCAAGAUUUUAAUGAUUCAAACCUAUUCAAGUUAAAUAAAUGCUUAAAUUUUAAUGAAACAAAUAUUUUUAAUAAACCAAGUCUGAACCAUUCAAAUUCAAAUCUCCACUAGAUGCAAUCAAAUGAGGAUAAUUUAAUUAAAAACCCCAUUUAUUUAGGGAGGAUAAAUGUACACAAUCCAUAACACCAUCUCAGAUGUAAAAUAGAGAAGUUAUUUUCUAUAGACCCUCGGCUCAAAAUAAAACAAUCUAGACAAAAAAAAAAAGUAAAUCGAUAAAAUACAAUAGAAAUCAACACACAGGGGCGGAGCCAAGCCUUGUUAGGGGAUUCGGCCGAACCCCCUUCAACGGAAAAAUACACCAUUUAUACAUGGUUAAAAUUAUUUUUGUGUAUUUAUAAUAGGUGUUGAACCCCCUUCGGCUAGAUUUUCUUCGAAUAUUGAACCCCCUUAGUUGAAAUCCUGGCUUCGCCUCUGUCAACACACCUAAUAAUAACCAUAUACAAGAUACACAAUAAUUAUACUUCUGGCAAAAUGAAACAUAAAUUUCAAAAAACACGUAAACAAAACGAAGGUAACUGAGCAAGCGAACAAUAACAUUUAAAAAGUAUUUGGUUUUGGAUAUAGUGAACUCCCAUUCAAAUAUGUUGGCAUCUCCUUGUCUACAAAGAGGCUCACAAGUCUACAAUGGGAUCCUUUGAGUGACAACAUUGUAGCCAAAUAUCAUCAUAGACGGAUUAGAAGUUGUCUUAUGCAGGCAAAACUCAGUUGGUGCAGUCUGUCCUGUUUGGAUUUCAAGCCUUGGUCUCCAUUGUUUGUCACUCCUAAUAAAGGUGCUAAAACUGAUUGAUUCAUACUCCAAAAUUAUACUUGGGCAGGUACUAACACUAUAUCUAGAAGAGCACUAAUGGCUUGAAAUAGAACUUGCUUACCUAAUUCAGCCAGAGGAGUCAACCUAAUUAACAUCUUUGGAACAAAGCAAUUAUUACCAAAACUUAUUGGGACCGACCAAGGAGACAGACAGGCUAUGGACAAGAUGAAUCCAUACUUUCUAUUUCAAAACUCUUCAACCUGUCAUAGCACCUAUCUGACAAUAAGCUUCGUGAGAAAGACCAUAGCAGCAAGAGGUUUAUUAGCACAUGCUCAGGUGGUAGAUGGUUGCUCAGUUUCUGUCAUACAAUUAUACUUGAAGCUGGUUGAUGACAGGCCGAGGCAUAGGGUUAAUUGGACCAUAGGCAAUACUUACAAUGUCAAUGCAGUUACAGAAUAAACUUCCUACCACAGAUGGCUACUCAAAUGGCAUUAACAAUGAAUCCAACAAGCAAAUUUUGCCAAACAUGCCUGGAAACUCGAGACCAUACUACUCCCUCCAUUUCAUGAUAAAUGAAUUGUUGGAUUUUAACACAUAUUAAGGAAAAAGACGAGAUCAAUAUGUUUUGGCUCUCAGCUGAUAAGAAUACUCUCCAGCUAAAGACGAGAUCAAUCAAGUAGGCAGAAGGUUCAUAUAUAUUGAUGAAAAUAAAAGAACAAAAAGGAAACAUUUUCUUUUGCAAGUCUAAAGAAACAUUCCUCAGGACAGAAAACAAAAUUUAGGAUACUAAUAUCUCAUAUAAGAAAACUACAAGAACAAAACAGCGGGGAGCAUAACAUCUAACAAAUCAAGCCUCAACUCUCUCAGGUGGUGCUGCCUCCUCAGCGGCGUAGACAAUAACCUUAUUGGCAGGCUUUGCCAAGAUAUCAAAGUACUCUUGGAAUGGAGAUUUUGUGAAGCGAGUCUCUUUCCAAAAGUCUGGAGUGAGGAACCCAUAAGUCUUCAUUAAACAAUCGAAGGUAGCCUGCAUACAUAAUGAGUGAUAUUAGACUUGAACACAAUUAGUACACCACCUGCAGAUAUAUUAUAAACGAGCAACAAAGAACCAAGUGGAGCUGAUUCUAACAUUCAACCAGAGAGGUCAAUGCUGGGAAAGCAAAGAAUGGAAUGCCUGUUCUGAAACAAAGAUUUUAUACUAUAUAAACACCAUCACCCACGCUGUGGAUAGAAAUAACAGUUGGUUACAGAAAAAACUUCAAUUAUAUUGCAGUCCCUUCUUUAAAAGAAGGAUGCAAUAGAGUCAUAUUAUAGCUUUCUAGGAACAAAGGGCUAACAUCAAGCAUUGCAGCAUCCACAUUCAAGAAUUAAACUUAACCUAACUAGAAAGAAAAACACACAAGUAUAGAACUAAUAAUGGCACAGACUCCUGUCCCACAAUUUGACUUGCUUAACACUGCAUUCAAUAACUACACACACUGUCCGAAUUUAACUGAUACUCUCAAUAUAUCUACCAUUUAGGAACUAACCUAAACAACUUUGUUUUGGACAAUGACCAUAUUUGAAACUAUAAAAUUCGCAAUUGUUACUAUAUCUGUUAUACAAUAAGGACACAAAAAGCAUGGAUCAGAUUGUAUUGGUUCAAAGCACAAGACAACAUUUCUAUCUCAGAUGGUAUAUAUAUACAAAGAUCAUAUCUAUUUACAACAUGUUUCACUGGAUCAGACUACCCGGUCUCCUAGAUGCCUUUACAUGUAGUCAUCUCCAUAUUAACUAUUUCAAAUAUAUUUAAAUCAAAAUGUACAGUUGGUUAAUUCUUUUGUUCAAUGUUGUUUGGUACACCAGAUGGGAUAAGUAGGGAUAUUUAUUAUCCGGUGUAGCAACCAACCAUAAAUAUAAUGUUAUACACAUCACUUCUUAAGAUGUGAUAUCAGUAGAUAUAGUAAGCAUAUAAUCAUGUAAUUAUGGAUACCACAACAGAUUAGAACAUGGUAAUAGAACCAACACACAAUCAUAAAAGAUCGAACCUUAACGAAGUUUCCAAGGGUUUUGGUGGAUCCACGAGAAGAGGUAAAGACAUCUUCAAUACCAGCAAACUGAAGAACCUUCUUAGGAACACGAGCAGCAACAAUACCAGCACCACGAGGAGCAGGGACCAUCCUCACAGUAACAGAACCACAUUUCCCAGUAACCUUACAAGGCACUGUGUGUGGCUUCCCAAUCUUAUUCCCCCAAUAACCUCUCCUCACUGGAAUCACUGACAACUUCGCCAAUAUAAUCGCUCCACGUAUAGC